RNAcentral lists this long non-coding RNA (46735 nucleotides) under Malus domestica (apple). Its description in RNAcentral is "long non-coding RNA (MDOM_LNC009662)". Lineage: Eukaryota; Viridiplantae; Streptophyta; Magnoliopsida; Rosales; Rosaceae. The record is from RNAcentral.
UUUCCACCACCACCACCACCAAUCCAUUCACCCCCACUACCAGUUCAUUCUCCCUCACCACCAGUUCACUCUCCUCCACCACCACCAGUGCACUCACCUCCACCGCCAGUGCACUCACCUCUACCACCAGUUCACUCAUCCCCACCACCGAUCCAUUCACCACCACCACCAGUCCACUCACUCCCACCAUCACUAGUCCACUCACAUUCACCGCCAGUGCACUCGCCUCUACCACCAAUUCACUCACCCCCACCACCGGUUCAUUCACCUCCACCAUCAGUGCACUCGCCUCCACCACUAGUCCAUUCUCCUUCCCCACCAGCGCACUCGCCUCUACCACCCGUUCAUUCCCCUCCACCACUAGUGCACUCACCCCCACCACCAGUCCAUUUUCCUCCACCACCGCCAGUGCACUCGCCUCCACCACCAAUUCACUCACCUUCACCACUGGUCCAUUCACCUCCACCACCGGUGCGCUCGCCUCCACUACUAAUCCAUUCUCUUCCACCGCCAGCGUACUCACCUCCACCACCCGUUCACUCCCCUCCACCACCAGUGCACUCACCCCAACCACCAGUUCAUUCUCAUCCACCACCUGUCCAUUCUCUUCCACCACCAAUGCAUUCACCCCCACCACCCGUCCAUUCCCCCCCACCACCCGUCCACUCCCCUCCACCACUAGUGCACUCACCUCCACCACCAGUGCACUUACCCCCACCACCAGUCCAUUUUCCUCCACCACCAGUGCACUCACCCCCACCACCAAUCUACUCACCUCCACCACCUGUCCAUUCUCCUCCGCUACCAGUGCACUCACCCCCACCACCAGCACCAGUUCACUCACCGCCACCUCUAGUCCAAUCACCACCACCAGCUUCUCCAUCUUUAUCACCUCCUGUUCCCAUUUUCUCACCACCCCCUCCAGACUUCGUCUUGCCAUCGACCUUCGGGUUCCAAUACUCAUCUCCACCUCCGCCAAUGUUCCCAGGCUACUAAGCGCACUACGAUAUCAAACUCAUUGCUCGCCCCUGCAUGAAACUUUGUUUAUAAAUAUUUACAAUCUCACAAAAAUACACCCACUUUUGUUAGUUGACCAUAGCUUUUAAUUCAUGACAUCAAAGUGUAAAUCUUUUCAUAUGCUAUUCAAUGCAAUAAAAGGACGUUAUCGGCAAAUUGCAUAUCCAUUUUUUUUUCUUUUGUUUAAUUUGAAGAAUCUGAUGUGUGUGAAUGCAUACUACUACAAAAGAUCAAGCACCACUACAUCUAAUUCUAGGGUAAUUCUAGAGAGAUCAUAGUCUUCCUUGCAGUUUCCAUAAUUCUAUUAUAUUACCUUAUAACGUUGAUUAGUUUUCUAGACCGUCGUAAAAUGAGUGUUAGCUCACAUUUAAAAAAAAAUGUGAGUUUCUUCAAGAUCUUUUGUGUUCGUUUUAAAAGAAAAAUUUAUAAGCUACCAUUUAACUCUUAAUUAGGGGGUUUUAAGUUUGGAAACAAAAUACAAUAAAAUACUAGCUAUCGGGGCCUAUAUUGAUUUUUGACAGCUAUAAUGGAUUUUUGGCGGCCAAAACAUCUCUGUAAUAUCUUACAUGAAUUUAAAGAAGUUUUAUAGUGAAGUGUUAAUGCCAGAAAAUAGGUUUUAUGAUGGUGUUUGUGAAACUUUUGCAAAAACAAUUGAAACAUGAUGAGUUACACCUCACAAUUCUUGUAAGGCAUAAUUUGAUAUAUGUCCAUUUUUGUAAAGUUCUUAUUAGGAGUAGUUCAAUUUUGUGUAGGGUGGUGCUCUUCACACAUCAUUUUUUUUUUAGAGUAAAUUGUACAAAUGGUCCCUCAACUUUAAUUAAAUUGGAGCAAUGGUCCCUCAACUAAAAAUCCAUUACCUUUGGUCCCUCAACUUAUCAAAACGUGCAGCUAUGAUCCCUCAACUAAAAAUCCAUUACCAUUGGUCCCUGAACUUUAAUUCAAGUGGAGAAAUGGUCCUUUAACUUUAACCCAAUUGUAGCAAUGGUCCUUUCAAUAUAACUCGUUUUGACAAAUUUUUUGACAUAGUUGACGAAAAGAACCAUAAUUAUACACUUUGAUGAGUUAAGGGACCCUAAUUAUAUAAAUGAUCAUUCCAACAUAGCUUAUUUUGACAAAAUUUUGACAAAAUUGAUGAAAAGGACUAUAGCUACACAUUUUGAUAAGUUGAGGGACCAAUGGUAAUGGAUUUUUAGUUGAGGGACCAUUGCUCCAAUUUGAUUAAAGUUGAGGGACCAUUUGUACAAUUUACUCUUUUUUUUAUCUUCCACUCACAUUCUAUAAUUUUUGCCUUUUGAUCAUUUUUAAUUCAUUUGAUCCGACGGUAUUGAGACGAGCAUGUAGAAGGUAAAAGGGUGUGUGGAUAACAUUAGGGCCGUCUUUGAGAUUCCCUAUGCGAAAUUUAUAAAAGGACUCCUCGUUAAGAUAGUUACAAAAAAGUAAGACAAUAUAUUGAUGCUAAAAAACAAUCACUUAAAUCAAAACAAAAUUUAUCACUCACGGAUUGCAAGUUUACAAAUGUCAUUAAUUAUAAGUAAAAAAGCUACAAACAUAACCUUCAUUAAAUAAUAAUAAAAAUUCAAUCUUAAACAACCAAACAUGAAAAAAAUGAAAAAUGAAAAUAAAAAAUAAAAAAAUUCAAAACUCUAACUUUAAAGUUUCACUUGAAUAUUCUCUAUAAUAAAAUUGAAAAAAAAAAUAUCGUUUUUAGGAUGUUAUUAUUAACACUCAAAAUAUCUCAUUGUACUCCAAAUUUUUAUAUUUAAAAAGGAAAAAAAUUAUUCUUAUAAGGGUUCAAAUAUAGAACAUUAUUACAUAAUAUUAGAUGGCAAAAUUUUAGGACCCCUUCAAAUUUGGGGCCUUGUGCCCCCUCUAGACAAGACCACCCUGUUGUGUUAUUGUUGAAUUAUGUCUAAUGACAGAGACUCCAUGUAAGCAUUUUUUUUUGUAACAAAUUUAUCCCUUAAGUAAUUAGUAUUAUUCUAUAAUGUUAGUACCAAAUUCACGCAUCACUAUGUGUGGAGAAGAUGCACAAACUUGACUGCUUGUAAAAGAGUAAACGCAAGUAAGACAACAUUGGCACCAUUGGGGUACACCGACCAAAAAUUAAGUAUCAUUUGAGUUUUUGUUACGUUUCAUACCUCAGUCAUAAAUGAAAUAUAUUCAUCUACUUAUACCACAUUUGUUUUUAAUCUACCUCUAUCACAGGUUCUUUUUGCUAGGUUUUUGUGUUUGCCCUAUAACGUUUAUAAGUAUGUCAUACUUUAACCCUAAAAUGAAGGUAUCAUAUAUGCUUCCAUCGUUUUCUCAACCUCUGUGAUAUUAUUAUGGUUUUAUAGGUAUACACAACAUAUGAUUUUUUUUAAAACUAUUUUAUUUUAUUUUAUUUAAUAAAAAAGUACUUUCGUAGAUAAUUGUAAGUUUGAAUAUAUAUAAAUAUUUAAAAACUUAUGUUACUGGUGCGUUAGUUAAGGAUUUUUUUUUUUUGCAGAUUAGUUAAGGAAUUUAAAUAUAUUCUUUGUUACCUCAAAGAGUGAAAUAGGCACAAAAACAAGAAAAUAUAAUUGAACUCACUUAAAAUUUAGCAUAUGAUUUUGGACCUCAAUCUAAAAACCCAUUUUCAUAAAAUAUGUGACAGUUAUAUUUUUGCAAGAUCUUCCCAGUAAGAAAAUUAAUAUAAAUUAUGUGGAAGCGGUCUUGCAAUUUACUGAAUCUCAUAAGUGUUGUAAUUUAAGUUGGAAAACACAAAAAAUAAAUAAACUAGCAAGGCCUAAAAUACAUUUCGGAAGCCAGAACGGUUUUUUGGUCGCUAAAAUAUCUUUGGAAUGCCCUGUAAGAAUUAUAACGGAGCUUAUAGUGCAACAAAAAUGGCACGGAAAUUGAUUAUAUUGUAGAACUUUGCAAAAUCAUUAAAACUUAGGAUUAUAACUCACAAUAUUGUUAAAAAUACGAUUGUUGAGUACUUGAGUUUUAGCAUCGUUUUUGCACGCACAUCACAAAAAAUGUUAGGUAACGGGCCUACCAUUUGGUGACUCUUAUAAGUGAUUUUUAUAGCAUUUUAUGAUGGAGAAAUGGAAAAAUCUAUAAUAAAAUAGGAAUGAGGAUCCUCUUUGGAUCCUCUUUGUGAGGAUCCCGGGGAUCUUCCAAUUACGUCCAUUCAUCGUAUAUUGUAUAAUUAUUUUUCGUCAGGUACUAUUUAUAUUCAAUUUUAAAUAAAAAAAUUUACAAUGAUUUCUAACUGCACGAUGUAAAGAAAUGAUUGGAGGAUCCUCAUUCAUAAAAUAGUGGGAUUUAGAGCACAUAAAUAUCCGACAUCAAUUAAAAAAUUUCAACGGCAAAUGUGUAAUGUUCUGCUGACACACCCCGUCCCGAAGGAGGGCAUGCUGGCCGUCACGUGAGAGUGACGUAACCAUUUGCACAGUACGGAAGCUUUAAGAUACAAUUUAUAAGUUGAUACACCCGAAGGUGAGUCCUAAUUUUGUCCAAUCUGUCAGAACACCGUCGAAUUCCUCGUAGUCACCACACCUUUGUGAUUCCUGAACCUGGAGGGGCGCAAAACCAAAAUUGAGUGGGUCAGUAAAACAAUUCUUUUCCAAAUCCAAACAUUUCUCAAAACGUUGUAACCCCUCUUCGUAAAACCUGUAUACUUUCCCAGAAAUGUAAAAUAUAAAUAUACAUAUAUAUUCUCAAUACUUCAAUUCAUUAACUCAACAUUUUUCAGUACAAAUAUGCCAUGCCAUGUCGGAAUUCAACAGUUAAUUAUGGAUGCAUCAACAAUAAUCAUAUCAGGUGUAAGAAAGUGAUCAACCGGAGGCCCUCUAAUAGCCCUGUACGGUUGAACCUAGAGCUCAAAAUCUAUCACUAUCACUCUGCCGGAGUCACCUCUGUGACCUGUACGGCCUUCUGCACAUAAGUUACGCUCUAGUGCUUUCUCAUUAAUCAUCUGUGCACAUAAUCUAAGGUCACCCACCAGUCGAAAUCUCACUAACACUCUUCGACUGGCCCGUCGCACCCACUCCGCGUGGACUGUGCGACCAGCAUCUACUUGGAUCCAAGGCGAGCGUGCGAUGCGGUGAAUACUAUAAGCACUAAACUAUGGUGCAGGAUUUGAGCUCAAUAUACAUCAACAUCAUCAUAUCAGUAUUUAAAUACUCACCUGAUACUCACCUGUGCGUCCGCCGCACCAUUCAUUCAUAUGCAUCAUAUCUCAAUUCAUACUUUUCAUAUCAUUUCAUGCAUGGCAAUUCGAUUCACAUUUCUAUAUACUAUGCAUAUACUUUUAUGCAUGGCAUCUCAAUUCACAUUUCAAUAUACUUUUCAUAUAAUUUUAUACAUUGCAUUUAAAGCAUAAUUUCAUGCAUUUUCAAUUUCUGGGAAAACGGUAAGUAUAUAUGUAUACGGAAAACAAAACUGCCCACUCACCUGGAGUUCGCCCUACAACUCCCUAGCACAAUACGCCAAGCGUCAUGACGAUCGGCGCCUAAAACAAUAAUCAAUUCCAACCUCAGAAUUCAUAUCGAUAGAAUAUAUAACUUAUACAAAAUACGUCACUACGUAGUUCAAUCCGGAAGAUCCACCACUCAGAUUUUAAAUCCAUAACUUCCAGAGGUCCACAAUAUAUCUCUAGGAUAACUUCCUAAAAUUUCAUUACCAUCCAACGGUCGGAUCUCCGUCAAUUUCCAAAACUAAGUGACGGUUAACAUUUUAUUUUAUGAACUUACAACUCCAAUUCCGGAAGAUCCGUAACUCGGAUUCCCAAUCCGUAAGUUCCAAUAAUCCUCAAACAUUACGUAUUGCAACGUAUUAAAUUUUGGUAACGAUCCAACGGUCGGAUCAUCAAUUCACAUUUUCACCUAAUGCGAAAACUAUAAAACGUUAUUCGAACACCUAACCAACAAUCCUUAAUAACUUUCUCAUACGGUGCUCAAUUUGGGUAUAUGAAUAUACCACAGUGAUCUACUCGACGUCACGGACGUCGACAUAUUUUUAAAAUAAUAUUUUAAUGUAUCACGCGCCCCCACGCGCCAAGGAAGGCACGGGUCCACGCGCGCCCACGCGCACCUUCUUCCUCGCGGGUUCGCCGGACUGGUUUUUCCGGUGGCCGGAAAACUGGGGAAUUUUCAAAUGCUUCGUUCUCCUUCGUUUCUCAACCAUUUUCUUCGUAUAAUAUAUCAAUUUAAAGCCCUCAACAAGAAUCACAAUAUACUACUUUUAAGCUUCAAAAACAACUAAAUCUCACCGGAAAAAUCCAAGCAAAACCGGCCAAACUUAACCCUCGUGAUCCCGACGUCCAAAUCCUUCCAACGAAGCACUCCGAGCUUCCUUGGGACCUCACUAAGCUCGCUGUGAUCUUGUUUUAGCCUAAAUCGUAACCAUUUAAAAGAUCAUGAACAGUACAUAAACACGGGACCUUAAAAACUAGGGUUUUCCGAAGCAAAACUUACCUGAAAUGGAUACCAUCGUGAUCGUGAAGUCUUCAGGGUUCCAAUGGUGGUCUUAGAUUCGUCGUUGGUAUAGAUUUAGGGUGGUUUUGUGGUGGUCCGUGUGAGUUCGAAUGAGAGGGAGAGAGAACUGAGAGUUUCGUGAGGGAGGAGAGAGAGAGUGACAAGGUACGGGAAUUGGGGAAGGUUUUGAGGGAUGUGGGAUCCCCCCGUGUCCAACUCAAUCUCAAUUUCAAACUUUUAACAUAGAGUCUUGGUUUAGGUUUCUAAAACCAAUUAAUAUUCCAAUUCACCAAAGUUUAAGAACCUUAAGUAAAAACAAGUGUCCAAAUUACGUACUUUAGUCCCGUUUAGGGACAUUUUCGUAACUUCACGUCCUCGGAAUUAAAAAUUCCGGGACGGGCUGUGACAAUCUUCCCUCCUUAUAGAAUUUCGUCCCCGAAAUUCCAGCAAUCAACUAAAUCAACCAUACUCCAACAAUAGCCUCAAAUAAAUCUCUCUCAUCCGAUUCUCUUUCUCCCACAUAAUUUUCUACUGAAUGAUUUCCUUCACAAGCUUUUACCACUAUUCUGUCUUAAUUCUCAGGACCUUCUUUUUCCAAUCCCAAGUCGUCCAUAGCUCCUUACUAAUCAGAUCCGGCUUAAUUCUCAAUAGUUGCACCAAAGUCCCAUGUAACGACUCUGCCACUUAGUGACAACGCAUCGAACACAAAAUACAUUAUGUGCCUUAGCCAAUUCUGAAGGCAUCACAAACUUGUAUGCAACUUCGUCGAUUCCUUUAAUGAUCAAAACGGACUGAUGUGUUCAAGACUUAUCUUGUCUCCCUUUCUGAAUCUUACUAUUUCUGUUCAUGGUGAAAUUUCCAAAAAUAUCAAACCAUUUACCUUACACACUUGAUUAGUGGCAUAUCCAUCUGUUAAUCUCUUUUGUCAUUCCUGGCUACUUUCAGGUUAACUUACUCACCUGAAUAUUUUGAGGAGACUCAUCCAUAGUCUCAGGGCCCGCAAGAACUCUUUUGACAACUUCUGUCCAACACAAAGGUGUACUAUAAGGUAACUUGGUAACCAAGCUUCUUGUACGCUAUCCAAAACUUAGAAGUAACCAACAUACUCAAAAACUUAACAGUGUACAUCGUCAAAAUUGCUUUCUUUAAUUCCACAUAAUUUGGCACAUACGUCCCAUUCUCUUGCAUAAACAUACCAUCCAAUUCUGCCUCGGUUAAUUCUUGAAUUCCUUCGUCAAGCAUUUGAGUCUCGAGUACGACCUUACCAAAUAGGCCUAACUUGAAAUUUAACAAGUACAACUUCUUCUCGAUCUUCCAUUCUUAAUUUUUUUUUUCCGUUGGUUUUCAAUCCCCAAGAUGAUACUCUUGGCAAACAUGCCAGACAUUAAUCUUACUGUAGUCUUCUCACCAAGUGCUUCAGCUAGAACAAACUUUACGAUCACCCUGAUCGUACAAUCAUGUUCAUUAAGCAAUACAAGUCACAUUCGCUGCCUCAUAUCAAAAUCCUUCCGAGUAAUGAAUAUUGAAGACUUUUUGGAUUCGUAAAAAUCUUGCAUUCUUACCAAAUAUAAUGCCUUCAUAACUUCACAGCAAGAAUGGUAAUCAUGACUUCCAAGUCACCCGUAGGGUAAUUCAUCUCAUGAGAUUCCAUUUGUCAUGAAACGUAUGCAAUCACCCUAACAUUUGCAUCAACAUGCCUCCAAUACCAUUCAAGAAACAUCACUAAAAAUUUAUGAUUACCACUAUCUUCUAGGAAUACCAAAAUACGUGCAUGAGUGAGGAAAUACUUCAGUUGUUGAAUCCUUUGCUCACAAUUUCCUUCCCACUCAUACAUGACCUCUUUUCUCAACAGUCUCGUCAAUGACAAAGCAAUGACUGAAAAAUCUUUCACAACCAUCCAAGAUAGCCUGGUAAGCUAAGAAAUUCCAAAUCUCAAUUACGACUCGUGGUUGUUCCAAAUUUUAAUUUCUGUUACCUUUUAAGGUUUCACUUGAAUACCUUAAGAAUAUAUAACAUAUCCCAGAAAUGCUGCUUGAUUCAUCCAACAUUCGCAUUUGCUAAACUUAGCAUACAAUCGACAUUCUUCCAAUCUUUGUUCUACCGACUUAAUACGUUUACAUGCUCUGCUCUGGCUCAGAAUAUGCCAGAAUAUCUUCAAUGAAAAUGAUAUCUAUUUAUCAAGGCAUUAUUGGAAUACUUCAUCCAAUAAUUCAUAAAACAGCAUGAGUAUCCAUAUAGCAUCACCAAAUUUCAUAAAAACUAUAACGAGUCCAGAAAAACAAUCUUAGGAACAACGUUACUCAUAAUCUUCAAUUGAUAAUAAACAGACCUCAAGAUCCAUUUUCUUCCUCACCAACAAAUUGGGGCUCCUCAAAAGUGUUGUACUAGGUUGAAUAAAACUUUUAUCAACCAAUUCUCUCAACUGAAUUUCCAAUUCCCUUAACUCAUCAUGAACCAAUCUUUAACAUAAAUUUAUACCUGGCAACAAUUCAAUAGUGAACCUCAUAUCUCUGCCUGAAGGCAAUCCAGGUAUACUUUCAAGGAAGACAUCAAGAAAAGUCUAACUCUUUCGACAUUAUUCACACUACUCCAAACAACAUCAUUUAGCACCACAUGAGCUAAGUAUUUUUGACAGCCUUUCGAAAACAAUCUCUUUGCUCUCACAGCAUAAAUAAUGGCUGAACUCAAUCCACUUUGCAUACUUACAAAAGUAAUCUCUGGUCAUCCAGAUCGAUGGAAAGUACUGGUUUCCCUUAACAUUCCGUCUUGUCACAAUUAUAACCAACCAAUCUAAUGGAACAGAAUUAACUGAUACAAUACAUACUCUAUUACUACUAAGCAUUCUGAAUAAGUACAACACUAACAUAAAAUAACCUACCGGUUUGCUUGCUUAAUGAAUCCACGAAUGAGUUAUUAAUAUUACGGUCUGCAGCCCGCAAUACUGAUAAAUCAUCGUUGUCUCAAUAAGUAGGCAACCACUCUCAAAGAUAUAACAUUACUAAUUUGUCACUCAAUGCAAAAUACAUACACUCGUCUCAACUACAUUUAUUUACUACUCUUUAGGUAAUAACAUACAUAAUAAGAAAUAUAUCAGCCGAAGUCAACUAGAAUGACCAAUACGGCUGAUUCAACUCUUAUCUCAAUAAUACGUCGGCCGGAUCCACUCCGCGUGGUCGGUACGGCCGAGCCUAUAACUCACCAAUUUCUCAUGCGUCAGCCAGAUCCACCUCUCAUGGUCUGUACGGCUGAACAUAUAACUCAUCAAAUCUCUCUGUACCCACGGUCAAUCCGACCAAACUACUAAGUCCAUAAACCUGCUGAAUUGAUACUACGAUGUCAUAGAAAAUUGUUGGGUACAACUGAUUUUAGGGACGAUUCACAAUUCUGUGUCCCCUCUGUUCACAUAAACACAUUUAUUAAUUUCACACUUCCCAAAGUGUUAAUUUUUGUACCUGCUGCACAAGGUACAUUUCCUUUACUCGAAACACCUUGUCUCAAAUAUCUGGGAUUACCAGUAUAUCCAUCACUUUUACUCUGACCAGCGACAUUAAAACCUCAGCUGGAAGAAUUAAUUCUAGCUUCACUUCUUUCGAAGCUCUGAAUCUUUCUAUAUCCUUGAUAUGACGAAUCAUUAACUUUAUCGUCAACUUCCUUGAUUCACAUUUGCAAACUCUUGCUUACUACCAUCGAUAAAUGCCGGAGGGAUAAACUUUUCCUUAAACAAGUCCUUAAACAAUUCUCAAUCGACUAUUCCUCCGGUGACAACAAAUCAUACUCCUGUUUCCACCAGUAUACAAAUUCAUACCCAAAACCAGGUAGUCGUCUCGACCCCCUGUCAGAAGGAAGAUUCCUUUGACUUGCAUAAUCUGAAACAUCUUUUCCAAAUGGUUAAACCGUUACUUCGCUCCCUCAGGUUCAUCAUUUCAUAAGGUGAUUCAAAUUCGACUCAUAACCCGUCUUAAAAUGUCCCUUUAGACAAUAGACUGAAUCACCAUAGUAAUAGUUUCCCCCUAAACCGCUAAAUCAGGGAGACUAAGUUCCUCUAACUACGUGGCUUGCUACGAGGCGGUGUAGUUCUGACAGAAUUCACUAGAACUUCUCAAAAUGUCCAAGAUUGCAACCAUGCUCUGAUACCAACUGACACACCCCGUCCCGAAGGAGGGCAUGCUGGCCGUCACGUGAGAGUGACGUAACCAUUUGCACAGUACGGAAGCUUUAAGAUACAAUUUAUAAGUUGAUACACCCGAAGGUGAGUCCUAAUUUUGUCCAAUCUGUCAGAACACCGUCGAAUUCCUCGUAGUCACCACACCUUUGUGAUUCCUGAACCUGGAGGGGCGCAAAACCAAAAUUGAGUGGGUCAGUAAAACAAUUCUUUUCCAAAUCCAAACAUUUCUCAAAACGUUGUAACCCCUCUCCGUAAAACCUGUAUACUUUCCCAGAAAUGUAAAAUAUAAAUAUACAUAUAUAUUCUCAAUACUUCAAUUCAUUAACUCAACAUUUUUCAGUACAAAUAUGCCAUGCCAUGUCGGAAUUCAACAGUUAAUUAUGGAUGCAUCAACAAUAAUCAUAUCAGGUGUAAGAAAGUGAUCAACCGGAGGCCCUCUAAUAGCCCUGUACGGUUGAACCUAGAGCUCAAAAUCUAUCACUAUCACUCUGCCGGAGUCACCUCUGUGACCUGUACGGCCUUCUGCACAUAAGUUACGCUCUAGUGCUUUCUCAUUAAUCAUCUGUGCACAUAAUCUAAGGUCACCCACCAGUCGAAAUCUCACUAACACUCUUCGACUGGCCCGUCGCACCCACUCCGCGUGGACUGUGCGACCAGCAUCUACUUGGAUCCAAGGCGAGCGUGCGAUGCGGUGAAUACUAUAAGCACUAAACUAUGGUGCAGGAUUUGAGCUCAAUAUACAUCAACAUCAUCAUAUCAGUAUUUAAAUACUCACCUGAUACUCACCUGUGCGUCCGCCGCACCAUUCAUUCAUAUGCAUCAUAUCUCAAUUCAUACUUUUCAUAUCAUUUCAUGCAUGGCAAUUCGAUUCACAUUUCUAUAUACUAUGCAUAUACUUUUAUGCAUGGCAUCUCAAUUCACAUUUCAAUAUACUUUUCAUAUAAUUUUAUACAUUGCAUUUAAAGCAUAAUUUCAUGCAUUUUCAAUUUCUGGGAAAACGGUAAGUAUAGUAUAUAUGUAUACGGAAAAACAAAACUGCCCUCACUCCUGGAGUUUCGCCCUACAACUCCCUAGCACAAUACGCCAAAGCGUCAUGACGAUCGGCGCCUAAAACAAUAAUCAAUUCCAACCUCAGAAUUCAUAUCGAUAGAAUAUAUAACUUAUACAAAAUACGUCACUACGUAGUUCAAUCCGGAAGAUCCACCACUCAGAUUUUAAAUCCAUAACUUCCAGAGGUCCACAAUAUAUCUCUAGGAUAACUUCCUAAAAUUUCAUUACCAUCCAACGGUCGGAUCUCCGUCAAUUUCCAAAACUAAGUGACGGUUAACAUUUUAUUUUAUGAACUUACAACUCCAAUUCCGGAAGAUCCGUAACUCGGAUUCCCAAUCCGUAAGUUCCAAUAAUCCUCAAACAUUACGUAUUGCAACGUAUUAAAUUUUGGUAACGAUCCAACGGUCGGAUCAUCAAUUCACAUUUUCACCUAAUGCGAAAACUAUAAAACGUUAUUCGAACACCUAACCAACAAUCCUUAAUAACUUUCUCAUACGGUGCUCAAUUUGGGUAUAUGAAUAUACCACAGUGAUCUACUCGACGUCACGGACGUCGACAUAUUUUUAAAAUAAUAUUUUAAUGUAUCACGCGCCCCCACGCGCCAAGGAAGGCACGGGUCCACGCGCGCCCACGCGCACCUUCUUCCUCGCGGGUUCGCCGGACUGGUUUUUCCGGUGGCCGGAAAACUGGGGAAUUUUCAAAUGCUUCGUUCUCCUUCGUUUCUCAACCAUUUUCUUCGUAUAAUAUAUCAAUUUAAAGCCCUCAACAUGUAGAAUCACAAUAUACUACUUUUAAGCUUCAAAAACAACUAAAUCUCACCGGAAAAAUCCAAGCAAAACCGGCCAAACUUAACCCUCGUGAUCCCGACGUCCAAAUCCUUCCAACGAAGCACUCCGAGCUUCCUUGGGACCUCACUAAGCUCGCUGUGAUCUUGUUUUAGCCUAAAUCGUAACCAUUUAAAAGAUCAUGAACAGUACAUAAACACGGGACCUUAAAAACUAGGGUUUUCCGAAGCAAAACUUACCUGAAAUGGAUACCAUCGUGAUCGUGAAGUCUUCAGGGUUCCAAUGGUGGUCUUAGAUUCGUCGUUGGUAUAGAUUUAGGGUGGUUUUGUGGUGGUCCGUGUGAGUUCGAAUGAGAGGGAGAGAGAACUGAGAGUUUCGUGAGGGAGGAGAGAGAGAGUGACAAGGUACGGGAAUUGGGGAAGGUUUUGAGGGAUGUGGGAUCCCCCCGUGUCCAACUCAAUCUCAAUUUCAAACUUUUAACAUAGAGUCUUGGUUUAGGUUUCUAAAACCAAUUAAUAUUCCAAUUCACCAAAGUUUAAGAACCUUAAGUAAAAACAAGUGUCCAAAUUACGUACUUUAGUCCCGUUUAGGGACAUUUUCGUAACUUCACGUCCUCGGAAUUAAAAAUUCCGGGACGGGCUGUGACAUCUGCAUACGUUUUAUGAAGUUUUGUGCGGCGAAAAUGACACAAAAAUAGAAUUUUCUAGAAUUUAGGAAAACUGAGUAAAAUGAUGGGAGCAUUUUUGCUCACCACCAUAAACUAUGGUGUAUACUCACCACACACCCAAUCAAUUGACACUUGUUAUUUCACUUAAUCUUGGUUAAUUUUUUUCAAAAUUGAAAAAUUAACAUUUAAUGUGAAAGUUAACUAGAGUUAAGUGAAAUGACAUGUGUUAUUUCACUUAAUCUUGGUUAAUUUUUUUCAAAAUUGAAAAAUUAACAUUUAAUGUGAAAGUUAACUAGAGUUAAGUGAAAUGACACGUGUCAAUUGAUUAGAUGUAUGGUGAGCAUACACCGUAGUUUUAUGGUGGUGAGCAAAAAUGCUCCCGUAAAAUGAUAGCCUACAAUCUUUGUGAGCAAUGCGUUAUUGAGUUUUCAUAAGAUCUUUUGCCAAAUAUGCAAAAAAAAAAAAAAAAAAAAAAAAAAAAGUUAUAGGCCACUUGGAAACGGAUCUCCUGUAUAAAUGUGGAAUAAAUAAUGAUGUUAAAAAAAAUAAACUAAGUGAAUUUUUAUUGACAUGUAAGUAUUCCUCCAUCAUUUAUUGAUUAACACAUAUAAUGACAUUUAGCUCAAAGUGAAGAGCAAAAAUAUGCACUGAAUCAUUUUGUAAAGAAAAAGAAAACCAAGAAUAUGAAUGCCUUCGAAGCUGUUUUUGGUAUUUGUUGUUCUUGACAGGUACGAAUUGCAAUGCAUUUUUUGCUGCCUUGCUUAUGUUCUCUGCAUAGUAAUAAGUUAAUAACCAGUUCAUGAUAUUCUGUUGACUUACAUAAAAAGCACGGCCAAAAGUUCAGUGAUAUAUUUGGAUGAAAAUAGUUUGUUUUAAAAAAAUGUCUGUCCGGGGCUUGUAACUCCAGCUACUAAGAGUAUUUACCUUAAAAAUCGAAACAAAGUCGACUUUGAGGGCGUGCAAUAUGUGCGACUGCAUAGGACCCCGACUUUUUAGGGCCCUGAAUUUUAAUAACCUUUUGUGAAAGUAGUACAUGUUUAUAAGACGCGGGAAUAUUAAAUACAAUAGUGCUUAGCUGAGUUGUCAAGCUUCCAUUAUUUUCGAAUCCCUGCCUUCAUGUUUGUUAUUUUUGUUUUUAUUUUCCAAUUGUGGUAUUAUAGUGUGUUUACAUAAGAAGAGUGGAAUGAGAGAAAUGAGAAUUGCACUCAUUCCAAGUUAUUCAAGUGUUUAUUAACACUUGGGGUUUAGGGUUGUUUCUCUGUCUCUAUGGGCAACGACCAAUAUGAAAGAAGAAAAUGGAGAAAAGAGAUGGGAAAGCUGAAAAGAGUUGGGGGAUGGGGUGCAGCGCGGACUUCACGAGAAAGUAAAAAGAAUUGGGGGAUGGGGAAGAAAAAUCAGAAGGGAAGAAGAAGAAGAAUCAAGAGUGAAGAAUCAGAAGAAGAUGGGAAAAAGAGAUGGGAAAUCUGAAAAGAGUUGGGGGAUGGGGUGGGGGCUUUACCAGAAAGAAAAAGGAAUUGGGGGAUGGGGAAGAAGGCAUUACAGGUGAGGAUUAGUUUAGGUCUAGUUGUGGUAGAUGGAUUAGUUAAUUCAGUCCAACAAAAACACUAAAUAUACAGUGCCUAAUUUUAAAAAGCCAGAAAGGCAAUUACUCAAGUUUGCGAAUCCAACAGAGAAAUUAUUGCACAGCCUCUCAAACAAACCAAACCAAACUGACCCUCCCUCUCAAUAUAAUCUCCCUCGUUCACCAAUUUCUCCUCAUCAGCCAAAAUAUGAAGGCUGUCUACUUUCUACUUUCCUUUCUUCUCUUCUCUUCCUUCUCAUCAUUCUCUUCCGCUCUAACUGAUGCCGAAGUGUCCUCCAUUACUCGCCGUCAGCUCUUACAUUUUCACGAAGGCGAUGACCAACGCGAUGAAAAAGAAUAUGAGGUUGAGUUGAACGUAACUUUCCCUCACACCAGGCUUAGACGUGCAUACAUUGCACUCCAAGCUUGGAAAAAGGCAAUUUACUCAGACCCUCUUAAAACAACUGAGAAUUGGGUUGGUGGUGAUGUUUGUGCUUACACCGGAGUGUUUUGUGCCCCUGCACUUGAUGACCCGAAAAUAGAGGUUGUGGCCGGCAUUGAUAUCAACCAUGCAGACAUUGCAGGAUACCUUCCGGUUGAAUUAGGCCUGCUGAGUGACAUUGCAUUGUUCCACAUCAACACUAACAGGUUUUGUGGUGUCAUUCCCAAGAGCUUUGCUAGGUUAACUCUUCUCCACGAGCUUGAUGUUAGCAACAACCAAUUCGUGGGAUCGUUCCCUGAAGUUGUUCUCAAAAUUCCCAACCUCAAGUAUCUUGACCUCAGGUUUAAUGACUUCGAGGGAAAAUUGCCUCCUGAGCUUUUCAACAAGGAAUUGGAUGCUUUGUUCUUGAACAACAACAAGUUCACAUCCACCAUUCCUGACACACUUGGAAACUCCCCCGUCUCGGUUCUUGUGGUCUCCAACAAUCGUCUAGAAGGUUGCAUUCCUCACACCAUAGGAAAGAUGGUGAACACCUUGAAUGAGGUCAUCUUCUCUGAAAACAAGUUUGGUGGGUGUUUGCCUAAUGAAAUCGGAUACCUCUCAAAUGUGACGGUGUUUGAUGUUAGCUCAAACACAUUCAACGGGAUCAUGUCGAAAAAAUUCGAAGGCUUUCAAAAGGUGGAGGAGUUGAACAUUGCACAUAACAUGCUAACCGGGUUUGUUCCUGAGUGUUUAUGCAACUUGCCUAGCUUGGGAAAUUUCACAUUUUCCUACAACUACUUCAAUGGUGAGGCCAAAAAAUGUGUGCCGGUUUCUCAGAAGGGCGUUGUGUUUGAAGACACAAACAAUUGCUUGCCGGAUAGGCCUAAACAGAAGUCAGCAAAACAAUGUCAAGUUGUAGUGAGCAAGCCAGUGGAUUGUAGUAAGGCAAAGUGUGGAGGUGGAUCAGGACCUUCAAAACCUUCCCUUCCUACACCAAAACUGCAACCACCUAUUCACUCUGCACCACCACAUGUACAAAUGCCUUCAUUCCCUGCACCUUCAGGUCAAAGUCCAGUUGUUCCAAUUCACCCUAAGUCACCACCGGUUCAUUCACCACCACCACCACCAUUCCAUUCUCCUCCACCACCUAUAGCAACACCACCAUCACCCGCAUCUAUAGGGCAAAGUCCCGUUGUUCCAAUUCAACCUAAAUCACCCAUACCACUAAGGCAAACUCCUCCACCACCAUUAGUCAACUCAUCCCCACCACCAAUUUACUCUCCCCCACCACCAGUGCACUCACCCCCACCACCGGUCCACUCACCCCUACCACCAGUCCAUUCUCCACCACCACCAGUUCACUCACCCCCACCACUGGUCCAGUUACCUUCACCAUCAGUGCACUCGCCUCCACCACCAAUCCAUUCUCCUCCACCACCAGUCCAUUCUCCUCCACCCCCAGUUUACUCUCCUCCACCACCAGUCCACUCUCCACAUCCCCCUGUACAGUCACCUUCACCACCAGUCCACUCUCUUCCACCACCUGUGCACUCACCCCCACCACCAGUCCACUCAUUGCCGUCGCCAAUCCAUUCUCCACCCCCACCAAUCCACUAUCCACCUCCCCCUGUACAGUCACCUUCACCACCAGUCCACUCUCUUCCACCACCUAUGCACUCACCCCCACCACUAGUCCACUCACCACCGCCACCAAUCCACUCUCCACCACCUGUGCACUCUCCGCCACCGCCAUUCCACUAUCCACCACCACCUGUGCAUUCUCUUCCUCCACCUAUGCACUCAACCCCACCACCAAUCCACUCACCACCGCCACCAAUCCACUUUCCACCACCUGUGCACUCUCCGCCACCGCCAUUCCACUCUCCACCACCACCUGUGCACUCUCCGCCACCGCCAUUCCACUCUCCACCACCACCUAUACAAUCACCGCCACCACCAGUCCACUCUCCUCCCCCACGUGUGCACUCACCCCCACUACCAGUCCACUCACCUCCACCACCUGUGAACUCACCACCACCACCUUCUCCUUCUCCUUCACCUCCUCCCCCGGUUUUCUCACCGCCUCCUCCAGAGCUCGGCUUUGUCCUGCCACCUACCUUCGGCUUCCAAUACUCCUCUCCACCUCCACCAAUGUUCCCAGGAUACUAAGCACUCUACAUUGCAACUCUUAUUUUUAUAAAUUUUACAAUCUCAGAGAAAUACACUUUCCACUUUUAGUUAAUUAUAGCCUGUACUUCAUGACAUCAAAGUGUAUGUAAAUCUUCUGCAUAUGCUUGCUUGUUUCAAUAAAAAACAUUAUUGGCAAACUUUACAUUUAUUUUUAGUUUGCCUUUUUUAUUUCAUUUAAUUCUUUUCGACGUGGAUGAAUGAAAUUGUCAAUCAGAUCCAAUCACAAAUUUAGUUUGCCUUUUUUAUUUCAUGUAAACGCUAUGAACUGUAACUCGCCAAUGUUUGGGAUUUGUUAUAAUUUUCAUAGUUGCACAUAAACAUAAUGGAUUAGAAGAACUUAACACUCGUUAAAAAAUGACCUUAUGUCUGACGCACUUAUGAGUAUGAAUAUGAUGAUUUGACUAUCAAGAAUCAAAAUUUACCGGAUACAAAUCUUGGACAGACGAGUGGGAAGAGGGAAUUGCUAUUGGAUCAGAUAAAUAAAUUAAGCUUUCUGUCUCGCAUGCACUCCGACUGUUAGACUCGUCUCUAAGGGACUCAAACCUCAUUUCAUCACCGUAAAUACUUGGAUUUAUGUUCAGUUCAUGAACUAUAGCUCGACCUUCAAGCAUGCUCACUACUGCAGACAUUGUAGGUCUUAAUGCCGGUGCUGGGUUGGUGCAUAGUAUAGCGACCUUAAUCAUUCUCAUUGCCUGUUCCUUGUUAAAGUCGGAGCCCAACUUUGGAUCGAUCAGCUCCAUCAGAUUUCCAGUCUGUUGUAAAACAAAAGCCUGCAAUAUACAAAAGACCCUGGAGAUGAACAAAAAAAUGAAAAAGAACUUCCACAAGAAAUGUCUUGAUUGUUGUUUUAUAUGAAUUUCAGAACUUUUUCAUUUCAGAAAUAUUUUCCGUAUGUCUCCGUCUCCCCCUGCACUCCUUUCAUUUUUUUCCCUUCUAGCCGUUGGAUUGAAACAAUGAAAGGAGAACCAAGGGAAAAACAAGGGGAGAUUGCACAAGGGAAAAACGUGAGGGUAGAAAUUUUGCCUUUCAUGACACCAAAUAAUAAGUUUCCUACACAAUUAAGUUCAUUUUCCUGAUCAAGUGUAGGAUAACACAAAGUUGGAUGACAAGUAUGUCAAACGGAAAAUGACUCCUACCAAUUUCAUCUGCCAAAUGAAUGCGAUGAAUAUCUUACCCAAUCUAGAAGGCAUACAUAAUUCUCAUAGGGCCGAAAUUUGAUGUUGUUUUUGCCAGAUAUGAGCUCUAGUGCAACCACCCCAAAACUGUAAACAUCGACUUUAUCAGUUAAAUGUCCCCAUAAUGCAUAUUCGGGCGCCAUGUAUCCUCUGCAACACAAAGGGGAAGUUGUUUUAUCAUAUCCUAAUUUAACUGCAGGAGACCAACACUCACUAAAAUAACUUUAGACACAUAUUCUGAUCAGCAAAUGAAGAAAAUCAGUGUGAAAGAGAAGAGUCAAGUACAAUUCCCAAUGAAAUGAAAAGAUGCUCACAUAGUUCCAGCUACUCGGGUGCUAAUAUGCGUCUUCUCCUCUUCGUCCAGCUUGGCCAGACCAAAGUCGGAGAUUUUAGGGUUCAAGUCCUUGUCAAGCAGUAUAUUGGUAGUUUUGAUGUCCCUAUGAACAAUUUUCAGGGUUGACUCCUCAUGCAUGAAAGCCAAACCUUUUGCAAUGCCAACACAUAUUUUCUGCCUUGUAUUCCAGUCCAAUUUCUUUAGGCUUUCCUCUGGACCUGAAUUUAACGAAGAUAAUAACUUAAUGACAUUCAUGAAACGAGUUAUAACUAUUUUCACUUCUAGAUUGUCCAGCUUACCAAAUAAACUAUGUGCGAGGCUGUUGUUCUCCAUAUAUUCAUAUACCAACAAUAACUCAUUUCUCUCAAUGCAACAUCCAUACAAUCUAACAAGAUUUGGGUGUCGUAAAGCAGAAAUCAUGCCUACUUCAUUCACAAAUUCUCGAUUUCCUUGCUUUGAUUUUGAAGAAAGUUGCUUAACUGCAAUAAUAGUACCAUCUGAUAAUUCGCCCUGCAAAUUGAAAUACAACACAAUCUGAGGAAUUCAGGUCAUCCGGAAAACUUUCUGUGUCAUAGGCAAAAAGAAUAUAAUAAGGAAAAGGAAAGUGCCUACGGGCUUUUUUAAAAAAGAGAGUUAUAGAAUACCUUGUAAACAGCUCCAAAGCCACCUUCCCCAAGCUUGUUCGCAGCAUCGAAGUUGUUAGUGGCAGCUUUGAUUUGUUUGAACCCAAAGAAACCAGUUUGCAGAUCUAAUCCUUUCAGAUCUGUCGUUGUGACAAGAUUAGCUAUUUAGCUCAGUGAACUGAUUUUUUUACGGAGAAUUUGGGGGACUUUUGGCUUGUAGACAAUGUUGGAAAGAAUAACCAUGGAAAACAAGAAACUACAAGAAGCAUAUACUCUAGCAAAUUUGAAUAUGGAUGUAACUCAAGUUGCUACCUCUUGUUUCCUUUUCUGAACGGUAUUUACAUUACCUUGUUCCCUAGUAGAUGUCCUGCGUUCCUUACAGCAUCGUAACCAAAGAAUGGCAGCAGUCACAAAAAAAAGGCACAACGCUGAAACAACUACAACCACAAUGUAUAUCUUCGUUUUGCUAUCAGCAGGAGGUUUGAAAUCUAGAAGUGAAAGCAGAGAAUAGAACAGUGAUCAACAAGAUUGUAGUCAAAAUAAUGAGAAAACUUUUAACUUAAAUUCUUACCGGACUCCACUGAGAUAGCAGAUAUAAGAGAACCAUAUAUUCCCCUUUCCGGAGCAUUACUUGUUCCUUUCCCGGCCCAAUAAAAGCGGAUCUCUAAAGUCGCAACAUUGACAACUGCAUUAAAUACCUUAAUCACUUCCUUAUCAACCCCUUGUGCUUCCUUUUCUAUAUCGAAAUCCUUCAAUACCAGUUUUUCCUGUAACAAUAUUACUACAGUAAAUCAUUCGACUUAAAAGCUAAGAAAUAAAGGGAGUGAUAAAUACAAAUAUUGGGAACAUUUGAGGAAGUAUAUACAGAAAUGAUUACCUGGAUAUAGACAUCAAAAAUUCGUCGUCCAACACUGUAAUAAGACCUGUUGUUUCUCAUAACUAUUUCUGCAAAGUGUAGUUUCACAGUGUAAUUUCCGUUUGCUAAGCAACGGGCAUAAUAUGUGAGAGAAAGAGGAGAAAUUCGGGCAGUUCUGUACAAUUCCGAGUUGUUCAUUUUGAGUACAGAGAUAUUUUUUGCUAUAUAGUCUUGGUCAUAAUUUAUAAGUCCAAAAUCCCCAGUGCUACUAAAUCCCCAAUUCUCUGUGUCAUGAACAAACUUUGCUCCGCCUCCUGAAGCUUCAUCGCCAUCAUACUUGAUGUUUCCGACAGUCAAUUGUUUUCCACCGCAAUUUAUAUGCACUGAAUAAUAUUCUAUACCGGGAAAAACAAAAUACAACAGGUAGAAUAUAGAUGGAUUUAGAACAAUAUUUUAUAUGAAAACAGAACAUACACUUCAGAUUCUAUGACAGGUUUAGUUACCUUUCGAACAUGGACUGAGGCAAUUGCUAAGAAUUCUACAUUGAUACAUCCAAAAUAAAGAAUCAUUAGCUUAUAAAGAAUGAAUGCUGAAAAAUGAGUAAUCCUGUAAACUGCAUUGAGUUUGGAGCUUACGAGUUGUUCUGUCUGUAAAAACCUUUGAACACGUUACUGAUGAAAUAAGAAACCAGUCAGUAACGUGUAUCAAACAGCAGAAUUCAUGUCUAUCUCAAGCAGGUUAACGAAAAGAUGAAGAAAUAGAAAAGGCAUUUACUCUUACAAGGUUUCUCGACAUGUUGUUGGGAUAGAGUUCUCCGAAAAAUUAUUGUAUGAAAGAUCUACUAUGCUGCACAUAAACAUGAAGUUCGUUCAGCAUAAUAAUCUGUAUACCAAGUUUCUAAAUUCUUUUAAUCAUAUGCAUUCUAUUUGUUGAAGCCUUGCAAGCACAGAAACUAAAGUUGCUAUGUACGUGAUAGAUAUGAACGGAACUUAACCAUAAUAUAUGAAAGAUUAAGGAUGAAGAAACGUACUAGCGACUAUCUCUAUUUUUUAUCCAGUCCGGAAGCCCAGUAAGCAGGUUACUUGUCAGAUAUCUGAUCAUUAACAAAAGUUAUAACAUCAAAGGGAAAACUUAAAAAGUUGGAUUCUUCAUGCAAUUUGAUAGCGAAUUUGCACUACUUACAUUGUGGCCAAUCCCAAUAAAUUUACAAGAUUGGGAAUAUUGCCUGUUAAUCUGUUGAAGCUAAGAUCCCUGCAAAACAAAAGGAAGGAGUAAGCAAUCAGAACUCAGAAGCCAUGUACUCAUGAUAUUGAUAACACGUAAAAAAAGUUUAUCAAAUGACAACUCACUAAAUCCAAAAAGGAACUGAAAAUACUGAGGUCGAAUCUUGAUUUUCUAUUCGUAUAGUAAUUGAAUCUGUUAAAAAUAGGUAACAUUUUCCCCCUAUUUUAACACUAUGAUGGUUAAACUAGAGAGCAGAAGAACAGAAGUAUUACAAAACUUGCAGACUUGUCAUAUUAGAGAUAUAUUGAGGGAUUUCUCCUCUUAUAUUGCAGCUCCUUAACAUCCUGCAAUGUGAAGCAACACAUAUAAGAAAAAUUAUUCACGCGCGCGCACACACACACGGAUUAUUCCAAUCGAAAACAAUACUAAAGCCGUAAAGAUAGCUCACAAUGUCUGCAUGUUUGUCAUAUUUGAUAAGUUCGGAAAAUCUGCACUCACACCGCUUAAGUCACUAAUGCAUCUGCAAAAGAUGAUCUCAAGAUAGUGAUUAGGUGUACAAGUCUCCUCAGCCAUGGUAUUUUAAAAGAAAUAUGAAAAGAAUCCGAAAGUAUAAUUGGGAACUUAGAAGACGGCACUCACAGGUAUGUCAUAUGCUUUAAUGCACUAAGGCUAGAAGGGAUAGGCCCUUCAAGACCACUCCCUUGCAUCUCUCUGUAAACAACACAUUCGGAAUGGAUUAGAUUAGAGGAAGAUAGAGACUUACAAUGUGUGCUAGAAAAAUCUCUUACAGCAUCUGAAGUUCUUUCCAACUGAGAAAAUAGUCAGGUAUCCUUCCAGUAAAGUUGUUACUGCCAAUCCAACUGCGAAAAAGGUGACAUGAACCUGAUAUGUUCCCGAAAAUAUCUUAGUUAUGUACAAUACAAUAAGGCCACUUACAGUACUUUCAGUUUAUUCAGAUUAGUGAGAGCCACAGGCAACUCUCCUGUUAGAUUGUUAGCGCGGAGAUAGCUGCAGUUAAACCCGUGCCAAGUCAAACCAUUGUCAGUUUAAUGUUUUACUUGGUUUUGCAAAUCAAAAAAUAUCAAAUAUGAAGUUUCAAAUAAAUAAAAAUAAAAAAAAUAAAAAAAAGGAUGAAAGAAGAAUGCCAGACAGAAUCUCCAUGUUAACCAAUUUCCCCAGCUCCGGAGGAAUAAUUCCGGAAAAUAAGUUGCUUUCCAAAGCCCUGAAAGCAUGGUCUCUUCACGGUCACGACUCACAACCAAAUGGUACAUCAAAUUAAAUGUAAAUGAGAUAACAUUAGGUAUGUAGAUUCAAAGCAUACAAAGCUUGGAGAGUAAUCAUGUUUCCCAAAUAAGCUGGGAUUGGUCCUGAUAAGUUGUUCACGCUGAGAACCCUACACCGCGUACAUUCAAUUAGUUCAAUCAUUGGCAGGAAAACUUAAAAUAAAAGAUCUCAUUCAUGAGUGAAGAAGACACUUACAGAAAUUCCAACUUCGUAGAAGUCCAUUCGUGCGGUAUUGGACCACUAAGGUAAUUUUGGCCCAGAUUACUGUGAGCAAAGAAGAAAUAGGUUUGAGGUUUAAAAUCUAAAACCGAAAACAAGUAGGGGUAAGCUCUUCAUACACUUUCUUAAGGUAAGGUAGCUUGGCUAGCGAUGGUGGAAGCACACCGUCAAGUUCCUGUGCUGUAAGAAAACUGCAGGACGAGGAAAAACAAUUCACAAGUUAUAAUUUCGUGCUGAGAAGCUAAAAUCUGGUGCUAAAAGCUUUUAACAAACCGGAUUGAAGGAGAAGUUCUUAUACGCUCUUGUAUUACAAUGCAAGAAAUGAUUACUAUCCAAAUCGAUUCAGAAGUUCAGUUUUAUGGUUAAACCCAAAUUUUCGUAACCCAAACAUUCAGUUUCUCAAAUCCACGAAUGCCAAAAAGGCAAUUGAAAUUACUAGAGUUUCUCCAAGAGAAGGUUACACACAAAAAAAAAAGUUUUUGAGUUUCAAUUUAUUUAUAACUAGCACUAUAUUUUAGCAGCUGAUCAGUGUGCAAACAGCUGCAUGCGGGUUAUAUUCAUCGGCUUCUCUCAACCGAGAGUCAGAUAGAAAAGUAAAAUUAGGGAGACCGGGCCGAUACAGCUGAAAAUGUAUUUCCAUUUCAGUAGGGAUUGGCCGAAGUUUUUCGUUUCUUGUUUACAAAUUUUUUUUGUUUGGCUGGGUUUUAAGUUGCUUUGAUAUGUAUCAUAGAUUCAUAACCUAAUUGCUUUACUUGCUAAUGAUGCCUCUGACCCAAUUACCAGCAAACAUUGUAAUCUAUAUCAGGAAAAUGAAUUAUAGUUCAACAAGAUUAAAGGGGCAUAAUAUAUACACGUACAUGCUUUCGACGUGGCAGACGUCGACAGAGAUGGAGCAGUUGCAGAAGAGAGUAUUGUUGUACUGAUCCGUAUGCGGGGUUGAGAAAGUUGGAAUAUUGCUGCAUGGGUCGCUGAAAUUCCAGUCCUUUUUAUUCAGUUGCGCAGCUAUUUCUCGAAGUGCUUCCACUGCCAUUACAAACACCAAAUUUGCCAUACACCAAAACAAAAAUAAAAACUUAUGAAAAGGUUAAAAGUUUUUUGACAAUCAAAAAUGCUUUUGACUUGCAGAAGCACUAACAAAAUUUUUGACGUGUUUCUAAUAAGAGAUAUAGAUACAAUCUCAAAAGCGUUUAUGAGUAAAAGUGUUACAUACAAAAGAAAUCCUAACAAGUUUUAAAGUAGUAGAAAACGGCCUACCCUCAUCAUCUGGAAGAGUCAUGCUCUGUGCCUGUCCUUUUGAGCUGACUGUUCCCAUAUUGCUUGUUAGCAAUGCGAGCACAAUAACAUGGCUGAGAAAGAUCACGUCCAUUUUUCUUCACCACCAACUUCACAAGCAAGCUCUAUAUCAACUGUGUAAUCCCUUUUUAUAAUAUUGUCAUCCAUGGAAUCAUGAACUAUCAAACUUCCAAAACUUCUCUCACUUUUCAAGCGACCCUUUGUUUUUAAUUUGUUUGUGAAUAGACUUUGAUUCAUUCUCCUUUGAAUUGAUUAUCCAAAUUUCGAGGCCCCAACAUGUGCACAUAAGAAAGUGCAAUUUGCGCAUGGUUAGUAUUUUUUAAACGUAUUGAUGACUUGUAACUCAACUCAAGCAGUUGAAAAUUAGCGUUUAUUCAUAUGUGCCAAAGGAUCCUCUCUGGAUCCACUUUGUGGAGAUCUUAGGGAUUCCUAUAUCUUAGUUGUUCAUCAUACAUCGUGCAGUCAAUUUUCGUCAAAUACUAUUUAUAUUUAAUUUUAAAUAUAAAAAAUUAAAUAAUUUCUGACCACACGAUACACAAUAAAUGAUUAAAAUGUAAAAAUUCCUAAGAUCUCUACAAUUUAAAUCUGAAUAAGAUCCAAAUCCAUUUUUGUUCUAUUCAUUUCGGGUAGGUUCUAUUCCCCUCUCCUCAGUGUACGUGUUUAGAAACGCGAGGCUGUACUUGAUUGUUUUUACAGGCUGGUUGUGCUUUGGAAUGUGUAAGAGACAACAACUGCUAGGCGCAUACUACGACUUCCUAAUGAACAAGGCCUCCCUUGUCCUCCAUAAUUGUAAUUUGGUAGUGAAGAGGGUGACGCUUGACAUUUGGUGCUGUGUCUUUAGUCUUUUCUCCCCUCUUCACUGCUUUCUGUUUAUCUCCUCUAGUUGUUGCCUCCUGGUAGGCUUCCUUGUGUUUUGGCUCCGGCCCUAGUUAUGAAUUUAUCCAGUUUCUCAAAAAAAAAUAUAUAUAUAUAAAAAGAUUUCAGGUUUGAUAUUUUGAACUGAUAAAUUUGCUUGAUUGUAAUCACAAAUAAAAUAAAAUUUCCCAUAAUCUCUUCGGAUCUGAAAAAAAGUGGAUAACCAUAAAUCAGUUGUCUCCCCUUUAAAAUAAAAGGAAAACUAAUGAAAAGGGCUUGAAAACUUUGAGUUUUAAUGAUAAGGACAAAAUAAAGGGUAAAGUGAAUAGUAUCAGGAUUGACUUUUUAAUGUAAAAAUGUGAUUUUUCGUUAAAAUGAACAGUACCAGAUGUUUUUCAUUAAAAUUCCCUUUAAUAAAAAAGGAAGAGACAACGACUGCUGGAUUAGUGCUUAGGUUUACUAAGGUCAACCAAAUCGUAUACAAAUCAAGUUGACCUUGAUUCGCUCAACAUUGCUGAGAAGACUACAGUCAAUAUGUUUAAUCUCUCCCUCUUAUUUUCCUAAUAAUGAGUUAUUUAUUUCAAUUCACAUAUUUUUCAAACUGUGCAUUUCUUUUCUAACAGAUAUUACUUUAGUCUAAAGAAAGCAUUGGAAUUGGCACUGUUCUUUACUGUUCAUUGGACCUGAUUUCAGUUUAUUUACAAGAUUGCCACCGCCUCUUCAGUUUCAGAUUGAAAAUUUCGAUUUAUUUACGAAAAUUACCACCCUUCAGCGUGCACUUGUCGAGCAUCGUAGAAAGCAAACCCGACUUUUGUUCUAGAGAUCUCUUCGACGACAAACCCAUGUUGCUCUAGAGCUCUUCAACGACAAAGUCGAUUCGGCGCCUCACCGUCGCACACCUCGCCUUCCCCUCGCCGUCGCACACCUCGCCUUACCUCGCCGCCGCACUCCUUACCAAAACUCGAAUCAAUGGUAACGUGCCAAUUGUAUAUAUUUUUUGUCGAUUUUUAUCAUUAUUCUGGAAAUUAGGGUUUGAUCUAAAUUUGGUGUGGCUGUGCUUCAGCCAAAACUCACGGAUUAGGCUGAGAUUGAGAUAUAUGGGAGGAUUUGUCGACGGAUUUCGGGGAGAGAGGCGUGGGAUGGCAGGGAGGGAAGGGAGAGGGAGGAGUGAGGCUGCCAAAAAGGGGUUAGGGUUGAUUUUCUCUCCUCAAAUCAAUUGUUGGUGUCGGUGAUUGAACGAUCAUUGGUUAGAGGGGAACUUUCAUUAACUUUGUUUCGGAACCGGAAUGGGGUCGAUGGGACCAUGCUCUGUUGCACGUUCAGAUGAGUGAUUUCAGGGAUUUGGGGUAGGGAGAGUGAUUUCAGGGAUUGGUAAUCCCAUCCCGUGUUUUCCCCUCAUCUCUGUCACACUCAACCUCUCUCUAAUCCUUUCUCUUUCACUCUCUUUCAGACUCUUCCUUUCUCCCAACUCUCCAUCUCUCAACUUUAGUGCUAACCCUAAUUUGUUCUUUCAUUCCUCAAUUUUCUCCAUCCGAGCAAUGAAAAAUCGAACUGGGUUUUCAGAUUAUUGAUGCUUCACGGACAGAGAAUGGUAUCUUCCUUUGAGGAUUUUGUAUUUGGAGAAUGUUGUUUCCUUUUUUUGGUGUGUUUUUGGCUGUGUUGCAUAAGUUAGUCUCUUUUGUUCUAAGUUGUAAAUGAUUAUGCUUGAUUUGUAUGCAUUCUAUGUUGGUACUGAGGUUUACAAUUUUUUUAUUUUUUGGUUUUUAUUUUUUCUCCCCAAUUGUUAUUUUCCUUUUACUGUAUAUUGUAUCUUCUGUUUGGGAAUGCCUCUGUUUUUUUACUUGCUGAGAAUGCCUCUGUCAGGGGUGGCUCAACAGGACCGCGAAAUCUGGAAAGGGGCGAGGGGGUUAGCAGAGGGGGGAUUGGGUAUGUAGCAUCAGGGCUAGGUUACCAAGAUGGUGUUUGGGUGGGUUUGGCAGUGGGUCAUAUGGGGGAGGGUGGUGAUGCACUCUGAACUCACGAAGGUGCACAAACAUUACAAGUGCAUCACCAUAAAAAAAAUUCAUAUUUAUUUGUUAUACCCUUCACAGCAAAUAAUUUACAUGUGAAAUCUAGGUAAAAACAUGAUAUCUUUAUAGGCAUUGAAAUAAAGACAGCCACAGUCAUACACUCCAUAAGUAUUCCUCAUCACAGAGUUUUUUGAAACUUAGAAGACACCGGAAACGAUUCACAUAGCAGAUUAAGCUUAUAGAUGAUAUAAUAGUCAGAUAACAAAGUUCUCAACUGAGGGUUCAGAGAGACUUAUUUCUAUGUCCAAUUAUGAAGCAUCUUUUGAUUUUUAUUGAUAUAAAGACCUUUUCUUUCUCCAAUUAUGCCUCUGUCAACACUUUUUGGUUUAAAUGCACUCAUUUAGUACUCACAUUUAUCUGAUAGACCAGAUGAAAAAAGAGGGAAACAUGGAUUAUAUAUGCACGAAGGGCACCACAACAAAUGUGUGAAUCUUCUUGCACCACCGGUCUCCGCAACGUUUUCCAAAACCCGCUUGACCGAAGGUAAGCGAAUUUGGUGUUCUGGAUUAUAUUGGAAUUGAAAUAGUUUGGUUUCAUUAACUUUUUGGGUUAUUAAGUUUGUAUGCUCUGAUUGUUUUGGAAUUUGAGUUUGGAUUGAAAUUUAAUUUUGAUAUACAAAAGCACUCACCUUAAACACAGAGGAAUUGGUUUCGUAUACCCUCCAUCAGUCAAAUAAAUAACUUCAUAGAACCAGAAGCCACUGAAAUGGCCAGUGGCAUAUAUGUUUAUUUCUAUGUUUUCAAAUCUAGGUUUUAGAUAUUUUUCUUUGUUUUGGCUAAAUAUGAAAUUUUGGUUCCCAAUUUCUUAAAACUUUAGAAUUUUUUUUGCUAUUUAGUGUGACAAUAUGGGUCCAAGAUUGGAUUCUUCCAAUUUCUGGGCAGUGAAGACAGGGUGGUGACAAGAAUUCCAACUUCUUUGUGGUGGAAAUCAUAGUUUCAUUUUAGAUUUUCUUUUGGGUUUAUGAAAUGAGUUGGAGUGAUGUCUCAUGAUUAUGUGAAUGUUUUCAAAUUGGUAAGAGAGCUUUUGGGAAAAAGGGUCAGAAAGGAUUUGGAGGUGGAAUUUGCAGAGCUAAGACGACUAAAUUUAUUAAUAUUCACAUAAUCAUGAGACACGAUUAGAUUAUUCGGUUCACAACUAAAUUAAAAAUCAAAUUAGAAAACAAAUUCAGGACAAGAAAAAUUGUGAUGAUCCCCAAGAACAUAGGAAGUAAAAAAUUUUGAUGAUUAGAUUUUGAAAUUUCUUUUUUCCCAAAUCCAUAUUGACAUGGGUUUUUGGUUGUUUUAAGGAAGUGGAAGAAGACAAUGGUAUCUGCUUAACUCAAAGAUUUUCUUUCAAUGGUUAAUCAGUAUAAAUUUCAGAUUGAGUAAAGUUUGAUGUUUUAUGUGUUUAAAUAGGCGUGUUAAUUUUUUUCAAGUCAUAUCUUAAGCGAUUAGUUUUUGUACACGGUAUGAGUUAGUAAACAUAAUGACAGGAAGAAGACUAUGGUUGUUGCUCUUCUAUUUAACACAAUAUAUUUUGUAUUUAUAUUUUGCAUGUGAUCAUGUCCUGGAAAGAUAUCCGUUUAACACAUCCUUUAACAGGACAAGGAUGUUGCUCUUCUAUUUUCAUUCAGUCAACAGGGGGUUUCUGAUUUUAUAUUUUGUUGUUUAUAUGCUGGAAUUACAGGACAAGGAGUUGGACCCUGGAUCUAACGACUUUCUGGGUUAGUAACUUUUAUAAUAUGCUGAGUUUUUAUUCUAAUGAUUGUUUAUUUUUUAUCGUACUCUCUCUCAAUCUAAUUUAACCCAUAUGUGCACACACAAUCACAAUAAGUUUGGGUUCUGGUUUAGAUAUUUAUAUUUUUGGAUAUUGGAAAUUGUAUUUUCUUUAGAUUAAUCCCAGAACGUGUACCAUGUGGGUUUUUUUUAAAAUUUAUUUACUAAUUUUUAACUUUGGCUUUUAAGUUUGAGUUCUGGUUUUUAAUAUUUAUAUUUCUGUACAAUUUGAUGCUAUGAAAGGGUUUGAUGAUUUCUGAUGAUUUCAAUGACAACUGUUUCUUUUCCAAAAGAUGAUUGGGAAGCAGUUGCUAAGUGACGAUUCUCCGUAUCCUUUUAGAAGCCUUCUUCACCUACUAUGUUUUGGUUUGUUAUGAAAUGAAUUCCCUUUUACGUAAAAAAAAAAGAAAAAAAAAGGUACAAUGUUAUCAAAUUUGACUUUUAUAAUCAUUCGAAUGCUGAGAAUGUUGGGGUUUCUUACUGUUAAAUCUUUGCAUGUAUUUUUUUUCUUUCUAAUUUUCUGAUUUUCAGUUUUAUCUUUUUUUCUUUCUCAAUUAUACCAAGAUAUUGCUUAAUGCAUAGACACAUAAAUGAUUCAAAAAAUGGGUGUACCAAGAGAAAAAAAAAAUGUUGGAUUCUCUGCAAAGCGCCGAACCAAAGAGAGGAAUAUAUUGUGUAAAUAUUAUUGGUUAUUCAAAUACGAACUUCUUUGUUUGAUCGCUAGAAUUUCAGUAUAAAUAAGAUAUUAGUUAGAUGUUAUAGAUGAUCAAACUAAAACAAGUCAAUUUGCCAUACAGAAGCUCUACAAAUCAAUCUUCCUUUAUUUUCUAACCCAGCGUCCUUUCAUUUCAUCUUCGUUCUGGAGCCCUCCCUGUUUUCCACAUCUCCUCUCACACUACCUAAAGCCGAAACCAAACCCAGCUAUGCAGGAAUCAAAUCACAGUCUCCGACACCCACAAAGGUAAAACGCUGAAAAAAAAAUCCCCCUCUGUCCUGUCAUUCUCAUUUUCAGAAGUUAUGCAGACGGUUCCAUGUCUAAUGUCUUUGUGGGUUUUCAGUGGUGCAUAUCUCGAUUGACAAGGAUGAACAGAAGCGGAUAUAACAACAGUGAGACCAAUAUGAGAUCCAACAGAAAAAAAAAAAUAGCGGCGGAGAAGCCGAGGGCUACGGAUUCAAAAGGAAAAGGUAUGAGCCCUGGCUCUGUACUAAUAUUGACUUGGAUUAGAUGAAUUUUUGAGUUCUUUGCAUCCGUGAAUGAAGUUUGUGAUCUCUGUGUGAUCUCAUUCACUGAUCCCUGGAUCUUGAAUUUGUCUAAUAUGCUCAUGGAUGUGCUCUGUUUGUUGUCAUGUACAAAUUGGUGAAUGUUGAACAAAAUGCUUGAAUGUUGGAUCUGUGAUUUGGGCUUGAACAAAAGUACCUCUGUGCUGCCUGGAUCCUCCACUCCCAAACUUAGAAUGAAAGGUUAGUAAUAGCCUUUUCUUCACUUACUUUCAAAAUUAUUUUGUAAGUCAUUUUUGUAUCUGUGAGUCGUUUGAUUCAUUGUUGUAAUUUUAUAUAUUACAUGAUUGCAAGACUCUUGAUAUCAUUAAUUGUUGGUUUUGGUACUUAACAUUUUAGGUUUAAGAAAUAUUAAUGCCUGAAAUCCUGUUAUCAGUUUUUUCCAUUAAAAUUUUUCAAUUCGUUCAGAUCUUUUCAAAUAUGUAUAAUUUCUUUGUGCAAUGUCUCUUUUAGUUUCUUGGUCAAGCAUUUUAAAUCAUUACGAACUAUUUAGUAAAAGUAGUUUUAUAGAAAUGCUUGAGCUUCUUGGAAUAACUUUUGUUUGCAAACGUUUUCCAACUAUUUGUUAUCAAUAUUGUUCCUAUUUUUGAAAACCUUUUUUCAAGUCUGCUUGAAUCAGGACUUAUCGAAUCAAGGCAGCUGCAAGGAAAUUUGAGCUUUGGCAUGUAUAGAUACGAUUUUGCAACGAAGCUAGGUACCUUCUAGACUUAUUGGAUGUGAAGAUUUGUAUGAUCGAAUUUGUGAUUAAUAUACUUGAAUUUUAUUAAAUUUUUCAUGAUUUUAUAGAGUUUUUCGUUUAAAUUUGUGGGUUUUAGUUUAAAUUGUGGGUUUUGGAGAUUGAAUAUGUAAAGGCUGCUUGAGAAACUAACAAUAUACAAAAUUUGAAUGAUGCUAUUUGUUUCUAUCUUUUUUUCUGAAUUUGUCUGCUAUUGACUAUUAUGAUUUUCUCUGGCUAAUGGACUCUCUGAAAAUGUGUUUUGGCUUUUUUAAUUCAAAAACUAAAACUCAUUUCGUUUGUCGACGAUGAUUUGUUAUGAGGUAUUGCUAUAAAAUGGAGAAAUUAACACUGAUUCUAUUACUAUAUGUACAUCAGUUUGUAAUAUCUAAUCUUAAAAUAUAUAUAUAUUUUUUGGUAGUCAGAAAGAAGGCACUCAAAUUACUUCUGCUCCAACCCAUUUCAACAAUUUAUCAAGCUUUAGUUGAAGCUCCUGGGAAGCAUAUCCAUUAUAUUGCCAACCUUGAAAAGCCUUGGUAAAUAAUGUCAGUUGUUGCUUCUCCAACUCUUUUCCCUAAUUUAAGUUUUUUAAGCUUCAUUUCCUUUUUCCUAUAUGUAGUUUUGAUUGUGUUGGGAGUUAGCAGCUUUGGUUUCGACAUUGUUUUGUUUGUGAUAGAUCUCAAAAUUUUUGCAAAUGUUUUGCAAGUUGAGGUGCUAAAGAAUUUGCAUUAACUUAUUUUUUCAUUUGCCCGUGUUCUAAUCCAAAAGGUUUAAAGUUGGUUGAAUAUUACAAACUGGUAUAGGUUUGGUUAUAAUAAAAGAAGUAAUAUAAAUUAUUACUAUGACACAGUACAUUGAGAGAGGUCUUUUAUUAAUCUCUCUAUCUAUAACAGUACCAAAUAUAUCAUAGAUGAGACAAAUAUUUAUAACCAUGUUUAUUAGGGUGUUGGCAGUGGCGGAUCCACAGUGGGGUCAAUGGGGUCGCACGACCCCUUGGAAGCCAUGGAAACAACCUUAGAGAUCCAUUGGAGCUACUGGUAAGACCCCUUGGAGUUGCUGGUGAGACCCCUUGGCUGCACACCAAGUGUUCGACGAAAGGUCUGAAAGAACCACCUUCAUCUCUAUUCAAAGUUCAAAACUCAUUGAAGGAAUCUUGAUAAAGUUUGUACUUAUAACCCGUGCAUCAUAUCUUGUAUUGCAGUACACUGACCUUGCUGAGGCAGACCGUUCUUUAAUAUUAGAGCAUUUUCGGCAAGCAACAAUGAGAUGGAACCCAGAAGUGAGUGCUCAAUCAGCAGUUGAUAAUGAGUCUGUGAAAGAUGAACAAAAAUCUCAUAUGAUAGUUGCAACAGAUGCAUGCCUUCCGCUGCUUCCUUCUGGGGAGUCACCUAUAGCUGCCCGUGUUCUUAUAAAUUAUGAGUUACCGACAAAGAAGGUACAGUUCUCAUUUUUCCUUUUGGGAAUUGGGACUUAGAUGUACUGCAAUUUCACGCAUCAACUUAUGCUGACAGUUACUCUUGUUGUGCCAUUUCAAGGUCGUUAAUGAUUGAAUUCUGUGUUAUAACAGUUGUAUACAUGGGACUGCAUGUGGUUUUGCUACCUUAUGCAUUACAUACUGCGUCCCUUCUAUUUUCUCAUGUAUAUAUGCUUCCUUCCUUACAAUCCUCUGUGCAGGAAACAUAUACAAGCCGUAUGACAACUUGUUUGGCUGCAGGUUCGUCCUACCAAGUUGUACUACUUUGUUAGUUGCAUAUUAAUGGGGUAUGCUCUCUUGCGAUAACUUUGUACAAAUACGUGCAGAUGGGAUUGUAAUCAACAUGGUCGUCGGGGGUGAGGUAGUAACUCUCAAAAGUCUUGAAGAAAGUAGCAACCUGGUCAUAGCUGAGAUGCCCAUACAUGUGAGUUUGUUAAUGCGUAUGUUUCCCACAUUUCUUGUAUCAUAUCUUGUAUCGCAGGUUAUACUUAUAGCCGUUUCUGUUAAAAAAAAAUUGCGCGCUACGCGCGCUAUCCUUAUUGACCCCCCAAACAUUAUUUCCUGGAUCCGCCAUUGGGUGUUGGUAUCCACCAGGAGGGGUAGUUUACCUUGGGGGUUGCAACGAAUGUGGAGAUUCGUUAGACCAAUGAUCAAUUGAUAGAAAUUAUCAUUAAGCCAAGCAAAAAUGAAUAUUAAAUCUUAACAUUGGGAGAAUACUAGGAGUCUUUUUUUAUUUUUUUUUAUUUGCCAAUUCUAGGAGUCUCAAAACCAAGUAGUGUUAUAUUUUAAUAAAUUUUUAUUGAUUGACUGGAAGUAAAAAUCAUAUUUUUUUGGCAAAUACACACACGAACUUACACGCCUAAAUACUCAUAGCACAAACGAAUGAUGGACUCAGAUAAACACCCACAAAUACAUAUACUACACACAUUUACUAGAAUGGUUUCUUCUCAGAAUGCUUAUCAAGACCUUUAGUAAUAACCCUUCUGAAAUGGUGGAUGUGUUGUCGAUAUUAUUCAUCAAUUGAGUAUGCAUGAGAACUUCAAGUAAUCGUUGCCAUAAAAAGUAGAAGUGAUAACUCACACCAGGAAUCAGUUAUCUCAUCAGCAGCUUUAUUUUUAUCUAAGAUCGAAUUUGAUACCUGUAGGUGUAUAUAGGUUAAAUCGAUUGUUAAGAAGGCAAUUUAAUCACUUUUCAACGUCCGAUAUCUCCAUCUCCCUGUUCUAAAUUUUUACUUACUUGAAAUGAAUAGAUUCUAGGCGUUUCAUUUAGCAAAAUGAUUUGUGGAUAGUGCUAACUCAUUUUUCUUACGUUCAUAGUAAUAUGGGCACUUUUCUUGGCAAUAUAGUGCGUAGCGUAAAAUUAGAAUGUGAUUCAGUUGUAUUGAAUUUGUUCGAUUAACCACUGGUCCAUUUAUAGUUCAUUUAAUCUUUUGUAUUAGUAAGCUACUGUGUUGUGUCCUUUACAUUUCUUGGUAUACUAUUGAUAUGGAAAACAUCAUCUAUCUAUUCUAUUUAUCACAUGAUAUAAGAAUCAAAGUAGACUUGGCAUCACUUCCGUGGUUUUUUUUGUGUUAGCAGAUGCCAUCAAAUAGGCAAAAUCAUAUCGGCUACAAAGUGCAAUGAAUGUUAUAGGUUACUAAGUUUCGCCAUAUGCCUUCAUUGUGGCAUUGCCCUAUCUGUCGACAAGUAAGCAUUAUAAUUUCACUUUGUAGAAUGAUAUUAAGUUGACUUAUGGAAUAAUAUAAGUUUGUGUCAUACAUGAAAACUAUGAAUCCAUUUCAUCAUGCAUUUUUUAGUUAAACUACUAUGUUUUUGUUCAAUUGACUGCAACUUAUGCCGCAGUUUGCUUCACAAACCUCAACGGUUAGCUUCCAUACAAUAUGUUGCAAGUUUGAGGAUAUCUCUACAUCUUAAUUUCUGCUCUCUGGUUGCUUCAAGUUUGUAAUUUUAAGUGCUACACUGCCACUUGAUUUGAUUAUAAAAAUGUAAAACAAAAUCCAUCAAUGAUUUACAAAUUUGUAUUUGAUUUUUGAUGUUUUUCCAGUGUAAGGCAUAUGUUGCACAAGCAUGUAAAAUGGUACAAAUUAUUUGGUUUUGGACAAGAAGCUUUGAGUUUUACAAGAAAAAUCAAGAAAAUGUGUCACUCCUCUAUUCCUUUGUUCUUUCAGGAUUAUGUUUAAUUUAUUCAGGUUAAGUGUGUCUUAUUAUGCAGUUAAGGCUGGUGCAUUCAUGGUCCCGCAGCAAAGCGCGGGCAUAUUUUCUAGUAUAUACUUAAAAUUCAGUUUAACAGAUUUACUGUUAUUGAAUUUCUAUAUAUACUUAAAAUUCAGUUUAACAGAUUUACUGUUCUUAAGCACAGUGAAAGGACGGAUUUGCCCCUCUUCAAAUGUUCUUUUCCUUUCUUUAUUUUACGGUGGAACAGUAAAAAGACUAAAAUGCCCAUUUCACCACCCAUGUUUGUUCCACAUCCUUCUAAACCCAAAAUCCAAAUCGCUGUUGCUCACCCAAAACCCAGACAGCAGCCGCUGCCACUUCAUCCACCACCACGUUUUACAAAUUCCUCUUGACUGAAGGUAGGCAAAAAUUACCCCUCUUAAUCUCCUCAAGUAAAUUUGAUUAUCUAUUAAUUUCCCCUUAUUUUUUUAUUUUUUUUGUUUCAAAUUUACAUCGAUUGCUAGGAUUUUGGAAGGGUGUAUGGGUUUGGGUAAUUUUCGUAUUAUUUUGGUAGUUUGACCACUUGAGGUGGAGCUUUUGUAGACAAAUAUUGGCUCUCUCGGCAAAGUUCUUGUCUUUCCAAAGUGUUGAGGAGGUCAUUGAAACUAAACUAAUUGAUUAAGUUAAAAAAAAAUUAUAAUAAUUUAAAUUUUUUUUGAUAAUUUUGUCAUUUGAAUUUGAAUUGGUAUUGAUUUUUUUUUUCACAGAUUUUGGAACAACAAGAUGGGCCGUAGGUUGGCAUAUUUUUGUGGUCUUGAAUAAUUUUUGUUUGGCAUAUUUACUGUGAUUGGAACCUGGUUGCUUUUCAUUUAAAUAUUAUUGUAUUUUCGAUCUAUGGGCAAAGUUCUUGCCUUUCCAAAAUGUUGAGGAGGUCAUUGAAUUUGAAACUAAACUAAUUGAUUAAGUUAAAAAAAAUUAUAAUCUUUUAAAACAUUAUUUGAUAAUUUUGGCAUUUGAAUUUGAAUUGGUAUUGAUUUUUUUUUUUUUCACAGAUUUUGAACGGCGAUAUGGGCUGUAGGCAUAUUGCUGUGGUGUUGAAUGAUAUUUUGUAGUGAACCAAAAAGAGGAAUAUAAUGUGUUAAUAUGCCUGGUUUUUCAAAUACGAAGUUUUUUACUUGAUGCCCGAAUUGGACUUACAAUUACAAUUAACCAUGUUUGUAACAUAUUUAGAGUCUCUGUAUUUAGAUCUCGUAUAAAUACUCAGAAGACUCAAAUGUAAUUAUGUAAUAAAUGAAGAGGCAACUAUGUAAUAAGUAAGGAACCCUUAUUCUAUAAAAGGACUCCUCACUCUCCUCAUCAAGGAGGUCAAGGUUUAGGCCAUGGGAAGAGAGAAAACAUCUCAGAGAGGGCAAACACAUAAAAUAGGCUAGAGAGCACACUGCCUCUAGCCUUCUUGUAUAUUCAUCAUUCAGAGUGAAACAAUAUCAACAUCAGUGUGGACGUAGCCCAAACAUUGGGGUGAACUACGAUACAUCUUGUGUUCUUUACUUUCUUGCAGAUUCACGGUCGAAUUUACGUUGUUCCAAGAUCCCUCUGGUUUUGUGCGUCAACAAACCAAAUGUUGAUUGGUCGGUCUGUCCAGAUUCAGUUGAAAUUAACUCUAUAGCUGUGCUAAACUUGCAGAAAAUGGAAUUCACAUACAACAUGCGGGGGGAGAUGGAGAAACUCCACCGUGAGAUGUCGAAUCUACGAAAAGUAAUUAAGAGCUGUGUAGACACUAGACGUGCAAAUGGUAAUGCAGCAUUCCAUGAAGCAGGGAGUUCAUUCAGGUUCGAACUCUCAUUCAUGUUUUAUGGUUCUCCAUCAGAUGUUUUUUUGUCAAUUCUAGAGUCUAGACUCUUAACACAAUGGCACCUCAAUACAGUAAGCUUGGGUAUCAAAAUAUAAUUGUGAGAAGACGUUGUAUUUGAAGAGUUCUUUGUCAUUAUAACUUCUUUCGUUUAAUAUAAAGUUAUAAAUCUAUAGCCUUCAAAUUCUGAAAUAAGUGGAAAAUGAAUUUAAGGGUGGCAGCAGACAUUUCAGUUGUGAAAUUCCAUCCCCGGAAUUUCACCAAUUAUUACGUAUCUGGUAUUUUAAAACUCGUAUUUCGCGCUUAUGUAACUUUACUAGUUAAUUUUAAUUCCAUUAAUUUUAAGUUUAGUAAUUGAUUAGUUAUUGAGUUGGAAAUUUCAUAGUGUUUUUAAAUAGAUAUCGAACCCACGAACGUAUAGAUGAAAGCCGUUUGCGAGUCCGAAUUAUAACGGUAUAAUUACAGAUGUUUGAAGUUGUGAACUAUAGAUUGUGGGAAGCAUGGGUUAAAUGUUAAGUUAAGUUAGUAGAAAAAAAAAAAUAGAAAUGAGGGAACCUGUCAGAUUCUUUUUAAAAAGGGGUAUUAAAUGACCCAUUUGGAAAUAAAGGAAAUGCCACUUUCUUUUCGCCCUAAUUCGUGAAAACGUGAGGUCCUUAGCCAAAAUUCAAACCGGUUAAUUUCAGGUCAUUUCCUUCAUUUCCCAGUUGAUUUUCCUACCUCCUUCACCUGCAACUUGCUCAACUACCUUCCUCCUUCCCUCUCUACCAAAAAUCAAGGGUUUUUAAGGUUUCUUUCAUGUAGAACUCUAUAGGAGAACCCGAGGGUUCUCGACGACGAAUUGUCAUUCCGAAGAGUAUCACCAUUCACCAUCACCCUUAAUCAACUUCUCUUGGACCCAAGAACAAGACCCAACUGGUGGUUGGGGCGUUGGAACACCAAGGAAGCCGAAUUUAAGGACACCCACCUUAGGGUUUCGUUGGGUGCGAGACAAUUUGAGGGCCUUCCUGGCCAAAUUGGACUCGGCCACAGAUAUAAAGUUUACUCUACUUGUUGAAAUCUUUAUUCCUGUAAAAUUUGAGAAUUUUUGGAGAAAAAUUUUCAGGUGUGUGACAUUCGAUUUAUAAAAAUGUUGUUGGUUGAGUAUUUUAUCGAUAAGCUCCGCCACUUGAUUAUUCUAGCGAUUGAUGAUCUUACCAUUGAAUUGACACCAAUUUUAGUAUGCUAUGGUAGAUAAUGUUUAAGGACCUUAGGGAUUUACAAGUGAAAAUCUAGUGAUUGGAUAUUACGGAAUAAGUGACGUAAGAUCAUGGACCCUACUUUAGAAUGACAGUUCGAUUCCUCAUUAAAUGUUGUUGUGGGAAAUAUAUGAGAGUUUUAAGUAUGUGAAUUGUCGAAGGAAAUCUAAAUGUGGUUUGUACCUUGUUAGGCGGUGAUAGAACGUGAUGCCUUGACUCUCAUGUUUGAGUGCGUUAGUGUGGAUCUCGGGUGAGUAAUUCUAAUCUAUGUGUUAUGGUUAUUGCUUUGAAAUCUUUUGUGCUAAUAAACUUUGUGGUUACACUAUGGAUUCUUAAAAUAGUUCUGAUGCUAAAUAAUUGUUGCUAGUAAGUUGUCGUCGAUCUACUUAUGAAACAUUAGGUGACUUAGAUAAUUGAACUAUGAUGGAUUGUGUUUUGAGAUAUAUAUGUGAUGGUUGAUAAAAAUGAUGGAUUGUGUUUUGGGAUGUAUAUGUGAUGGAUGAUACAAAUGAUGGAUUGUGAAGGACCAUUACCCUAGUGUCAUGGGGUUAGGUGACACUAAGUCUGCACCACGUAGCAAUGGUCCUGGAUGGUCCUGCUUGGUUAAUCCGCGUUAGGGGACCAUACUAUUUGUGGAUCGCGCUUGGUUAAUCCGCGUUGGGCGAUCCUUAUAUCCUAGGUAUGGCCAUACACAUUUAAAGGUGAUCAUGCUUGGUUAAUCUGCAUUGGGUGAUCACCUUCCAAUAGUUAUAGGAGUGACUCUGCUUAGUUAAUCCGCAUUGGGGGGUCACUACCUAUUUGGUUAUUUUCUCAGGGGUGACUCUGCUUGGUUAAUUUGCAUUGGGGGGUCACUACCUACUUGGUUACUUUCUUAGGGGUGGCUUUGCUUGGUUGAUCCACUUUGGGGGGCCACUUCCUAUUUGAUUACUUGCGUAGCCUUCGGCCGAACAACGUCUCUCUAACUCUAGUUUUGAAUAUAUCUGUGAAUGUGGCUUUGAGAACUCUGAGUUUUGAUUUAGAAAACUCGUUGGAUGUAUGUGUGACCCCUUCGGAGGUUGCAAGGUUUGGUAGCGAUUUCUUAUAAAUGAUUUAUAUUCAAGGUUUAUAAUUGUGAAUGAUGGUUGGUUUUAUUAUUAGUAUUAUAUACUUGUAUUAUUUAUCGCUCACACAAGCUUCGAGCUUAUCCGGGUUGUUGUUUGCCUGGUGCACCAUUUCGAUGGUGUAGGCACUGAUCCUACAGGUAACAAGUCUGAGUAGCUUCGAGAGGUUCGUAGGUGGGGUAGAGGUACAGUUAUCAGAGAUUUGGAGUGCUGGGUUACCCCUAUAUCCUAUCUUGUACUUUAUCUUUGGGACUUUCUUUUGAGCACCUCAAUCUUGUUCUUAGUAAAGCAAAGAUUAUACUUCUUUUUGGGAUGUACAUAUUUGUAAAUAUUUUGUGGAGAACUUAGCCACCUUCAUAUUAUUUUGGUUUAUCAGUUAAAGUAUUUUAUUCCGUAACUUAUACCGUAUUCAACGGACAUUAAUUUCCUUGUCACGUGUCGAUUCUCGACGUAUAUUGGGAUCGGGGCGUGACAUCAGUACAUUAGAUACAUAUUAUAUGCAUUGUUUAUGUUGUUGAAUCCAAGAUAAAUGCAGAAGUGGAACCAUAUUAUGGUCGCAUCUUUCUAACUUAAGCCAUCUUCAACUGAUGGCUGGCCAGAGGGCUUGUUUUAGUCCUUUGACCCUCCAAGAAAUUAAUAUUUUAAUGAACAGUACAUGGUUGUAUUUGCCUCGGUCUCCAACCAAUGGUCAAAGGGUCAUAGGGCUCGUUUUAGCCCUGUUACAAAAAACCGUCUUCAACCGAGGACCAUAGGGUCAAACAUAAUUUUUAUGUUCGUUAAUGUUAUUUAAUAUUGUUACAUAUUGUUUAAUGUUGUUUCAUGUUAUUUAAUUUAAAUUUAUGUUGUAUAAUGGCUUAGGAAGUUAAAGGAAAAAAAAAAAGAAUUUCGAAAAAAUAUGAAACAAAUUUUGUAAAAUAGAAGUUAUAGGAAAAAAAAAUAGAAUGAAGUGAGAUUGUAUGGAAUGGUGAAAAUUAUGUGAGAAAUGGUGUAGGAAUGACUUAGGUAUUUAUAGGAAAAAAAAAAGUUUCAAUUCAUUAAAAAAAAAUUGAAUACAACGGCUAGUCAUUUAGCCAUUAGAUUCAAAUUUUUGUUUAAGCAUUCAUGUCGGUUAUAACCGACGGGAAUGUAUUUAUAUUAUAAAUACAUUCCCGUCGUUUAUAACCUACAUGAUUGCUCUAAUUUUCUGGCCAGCCCGGGUUGGUUGGCUGGCUGGCUGCAUGAGGCCAGCCCUUUGGCCCUUAUAGAUUAUGUGGGGUCCACGAGCCAUCUAGCCUAGCCUUCGGUUGGAAACGGUUUUCGGGCUAUUUUCGGCUUUCUGGCCCUCUAGACCCUUCGGUUGAAGAUGACCUUAUGUCAUUUUUUUGUAGCUUUCUUCCUUCCUUUCAUAUUUUGGAAUUAACAUUUGUGAAGCACGUCUUCUUGACGACCGAUGGCUACUCUUUAGAUGUAUUUAUGGUGGAUGGAUGGCCUGUUGAGGUAGUUUUCUUUUACGAUAUAAUGUGUUUAUUGUCAUUCACUGUGUCCUUUCUACUAUCAGAGUUUUGUAUCUUGAAAUUUUGCAUGUUAAUAUAUUAUUAAAUGAGUAAUGUCCUAUACACGAAACAUUGGAUGACCUUUCUUAAAAUAUAUGCUGCUACAAUAUACCAAUUUUGGUUGGCUAUGGAUUUUGCUAUACUGCAAGCUAUUUAUGUGCUUUCUUUUUGUAUGCAUGGAUGAACAUAUUUUAGUCAGUGUUUAUCUAUGAUCUGUAAUAUGGAUUGUUGUUGUGAUUACAAGUUAGUUUUAUACUCAUUUUAAAAAUUAUGCAUCGAAGUUAAUCUCUUACUUAAAGUUUACAUUUUUUGCGCAUGAUGCCAAAAAGGAAUAGAAAUAGCAAAAUAAAUCAGAUGGUACAAUAUCAUACUUCUGGCACUCCCCGUAACAGAACGCGGGCUUUUUUGCUCGUGUAUUUACUAUAAGUUCGUCCCAAAUACAAAUAUAUAGUUUCACAAUAUUAAUAACACAUAGGAACAAAAUAUAACUAGAGCUACAUAUAAUUUCACAAGAUUAAUAAUAAACAUAAAGACCAAAUAUAAAGAGCGAGCAAUCCCCUUGGAAAUAUGAUAAGAUAUAUAAAAAUCGAAUAGUACAAUAGACGCCAACCUCUUAGUUAGCUUCAAAGAUAAGAUGUGGUGGGAGGAUUUUCUCAGGAUUCUCUUUGUGAGAAUUUUGAAAAUUUUUUAAUCGUGACCAUUUAUCUUAUAUCGUGCAAUCAGUUUUUGUCAGAUAUUGUUUAUAUUUAAUUUUAAAUAAAAAAAAAUUACAAUGAUUUCUGACCUCACGAUCAAUGUCUAAAAUAUCGAUAUUAUCCCGAUAUUUCCAUUGAAAUUUCCGUGUUUUUGGACUACCGAUAUUUCCGAUAUCAUCGAUAUUUUAGACCUUGAUAGGAACUCUAUGUGGUACUAAGUCACUCAUAUAUCUUACCAUGCAAUGUAUGAAGUGUAAAAUAUUAUACUAAUUCAUUAUAUAUAAAUGAUUAUGGUGUGUUUAAACUUCUUUCAUUAAUUACUACAUAUUUUCUACACUCACAAUGUUUGCCAGCUCGCUAUAUAAUCAACUUAAAUCAGUUAAAUUCAUCAUGCAAUGCAUUUCCUUCCAAUUUUUUUGUGAUAAACUAAUAGAUAAUUAACUAAAUAAAUAUCCUGCAAAGUUUCAAUAAAAAUUUUCAAGUUUUUCUUACAAUUUCCGUGGUUUUUAUUCAAUUUUUAUCGAUAUUGAUAAUAUCCCGAUAUUUCCAUCGAAAUUUCCGUGUUUUUGGACUACCGAUAUUUCCGAUAUCAUCGAUAUUUUAUACCUUGCUCACGAUAUACGAUAAACGGACAUUAUUGAAGGAUCAUCAAGAUCCUCACAAAGAGGAUCUAGAGAGGAUCCUCAUGUGUUUCAUUUGUUUCCUGUUUAGGCCCACUUUAGAACUUACUAGCAAAAAUGCCCGCGCGUUGAUGCGGGACUUGAAUGCUACAACCUUAACCACAUGAAUAAUUUCCGCACAAUAAUUUAAAAGAUGGUGUACUACAUAAGAACCAAUGAAGAAAAAUUUUGCUCGCUAUAUAUGGACAUGCAUGCUAUAAGAAAGCACUCAUUUGUAGAUCGUAUUGCGCCAUCAGUAUUAUACUCAUAGUUUAAAUUGGUCAGCGCAUUACAUGGGGGAAAACACAUAAAAAAGAAAAGCAGAAACGUAGAAGACAUAAUAUUUGAGCAUCUGGCAAGAAUAGUAAGUUUCUGAAAAAACUACUAAACCAUCGCACAAAUUCAAUCAUUAAACGUUACACUAUGAGCCAAGAUAAAGAGGGAGUAUCAAAACAAACUGCUAUCAAAGGAAAAUGUUUAAGAUGAUGAAAAUACUAAACUGGAUUGGGCAACCAUAUUUUCUAUCGGUAACUAAACGAAUAAUUUAGAAUUAUACAAACCCGAUUCUAGCUCAUCUGGUUCCUUUCAUCCUUAGAUUUGUAUUUCAAAGGCUGAAUACCCAAGUUUGCAGAAGUUGCCAAAUAAUCGCCAUCUGAAGAUUGAGAAAAAGCCAUAUUCACAUCGAAGAAAACUUUACAUAAAAGAGGUCAAAUUAACAUAUUUAAAGUAUUAAGAUGCAAACAUUCUUAAGAUAGAUCAAGCAAAAAAAAUUAAAAGAAUCCAAUCAAAAUACAAAAGGAAAAGGAAUUAAAGAAAAGUUACAGUUUAAGUAUUUCAAAUUAGUGAUUAAUCAACCAAACAAUCAGUCUCAAUGAUCUAUAUCAUGGACAUAAUAUAGAAAUACAAGUAAACUCUGUAAACUAUCAACUCCUCAACUCCAUCACACUCCCUCCUUUGUUUCUAAUUUACCUCUCCUUCGAGCUUCUCGAUUACAAAUUUAUAUAUAGCAAACUGAACUGUCUAUUUCAAAUCAAAUAUAUACAGGCAGAAAAGCAAAAACUAAACUCCCGCCACAUAAAUUAAUCAAUAAUCAAACAAAGAAAAAUUCUUGCAGACCAGAACAAAUCCAAUUGGAUUUUCAUGUGAGUGAUUGUAAUUGCCAAAAACAAAGACAUAUAUUUAAGUGCCUAAAAUUUAAGCUUUACAUCAUAAUAUAUUCUUCUAACACAAAUGAAAGAAAUGAAUUGUCCAUUUCAAAUCAAAUAUACACAGGCAGAAAAGCAAAACUAAACUCCCGCCACAUAAAUUAAUCAAUAAUCAAACAAAGAAAAAUUCUUGCAAACCAGAACAAAUCCAAUUGGAUUUUCAUGCGAGUGAUUGUAAUUGCCAAAAACAAAGACAUAUAUUUAAGUGCCCAAAAUUUAAGCUUUAAAUCAUAAUAUAUUCUUCUAACACAAAUGAAAGAAAGACGGAUCAAAUUAUUAAGAAAUGUAAGUUAGAGUUGCUAAAUUCACUUUCAUGUGUACGAUUCAAACUUCGACACAUUUAUUCAUACUUUUACCAAUUUUCAGACAUCGCUGAUUGCCAAGAUAGCAAGAUAAUGAAUUCUAUGAACGAAAAAAAUGACAUGCAACUUCAACUUACCAUGCCAAAGAAGCUCCAUAAGAGUAGUAGCUCCCUCUUUAUUGCAUGUAUCAAAAGCAUUGCAACCGUAGAUCCUGGAAAUUAUAAAAAUCCAUCCAAUCAAGAGACAAUAUAAUAGUUGUGGGAAGGUGAGUAUGCAACCACAAAUCUAAGAUAUAUUUGAUUCGGGAUUCCAUUAUAAUUUCACAAAAAAACAAAAAGAUCAAAAUUUGAUUAAAACAUCCAACAAAAUCCCAUCUAUUACAGAUUGAACCAACCAAAUAAAGAAUCUAUUGAUAUGAUUUUCAACCUAACUUUACAAAGGAGCUUUAUAACAGCGCAAUCAAUAUCAUCUAAACCCAACUAAAAAGAAACUGAUUGUAUGCUAUAAAUUCCAUGAGUAAUUUGAUUUUGCAGAUUAAAAAGUCAAAGAAUAUUGAAAAUUACUAAAAUCCUGUAUACAAACUCACACAAAAGGGUGUUUAUUUUCUGAAAAUACUAUUCAAUUCCAAGUAUUUGGGUUUACUUGAUAUCAUGUGAAAUCCCAUUUAGAGAAUGUUGAUAAUUUAUUAGUCUAAUCAUCAGUAAAAACUUCCAAGCAAUGUGCAAAACACUUUAAGCAUUAUCAUUUCAAAAAUGAACACACGGCGUUUCAGUGCACCCGUAUGAUACACAGGUGGGCUGUAUCACAUGUAUCAGGAUUCCCACAUGCAUCACAUGUAUUCAUUAAACUUAAGGGAAAAAAUGAACACGUGUGGUUUUCAUGGAGCACACACUACAGAUGAGAAGAAAAAAAAAGAAGGCAAUUUUCACUUCAAAAAAAAUCUUCCAAUAUAUUUACACAGUAGUAAAUUAAUUGCACAAAAAUGAAAAUAUGAGAAAUAAAAAACAUAUGCAAAUAAAAGCCGGGAAUAUAAAAGAACUGAUUGAAUGACUUUACACUUAACCCAUCUUUUGAAGAGCAAUUUUGGAUUUUUGUUUGGUAUUGUCGGACUCUCCUCCAGAAAGUCACUUCUUUUUUUUUUCUGAUUACCCAGGUCGCAAUCAACCUGAGAAGUCCUGUAGUCAAACACCAAAACAAAAUUCGAUCAACACAAUAUUUUAAUUGGAGGGGAGUCGAGAGCAAUUCUAUGACUUUAGCAAACAUGCAUAUUAUUUUCUUAGUCCAAAUAUGAAUUUGACAUCAUCUCUUGCAAAACCACCAACCAAUAUCACUUCUCAAAGAAAUUAUACAUAGAAGAGAGCGAAGGGUUACCCAACAAUCUCUGAAUUUAAUUGCACUGUUCAAUUGUGAACCGGAAUCUGUGCUUUCUUUCCCUCUUGACUUUGAACUCCGCUUUAUUUUUUACAAAAAUAACAAAUCAAAUCAACAAAAAUUAAUUAAAAACUUCAACUGGGUAAUCGAAAAGAGAAGAUUAAAUAGCCCAAAAAUAUUAAUAAAUAUUAAACACUAUAAUACAUCGGGAAAACCCCAAGUUUAAAAAACCCAAACACCAUAAUUAUAUUGGGAAAAAUCCUAAAUCCUUCAUUGCAACAAACCCCAAAACCCAAUUACUGUUCCAGGUGCCAUGCACAGUUUUUUGUUAUAAGAAAAAAGUAACCCCAAUCCCAAAUUAAGCAGAGAAAUCACUUCAUAAUCCCUAAAUACUGGAAAAAAAAAAUCUUUGAAAGGGAAGCUUCCGGGUGUCAUACACAUAUUUAUAAGAAAAAAAUAACCUCACUCCCAAAUUAAGCAGAGAAAUCACUUCAUAAUCCCUAAAUACUGGAAAGAAUGAAUCUUUGAAAGGGAAGCUCACCACUCCUAUCAUAGGGCGUGAGCACAAACAGCUUUAAAGGGUGCAAACAAAAGCCCCAAAAAACAAAAAACUAGAGUCUCCUGAAAGUGAACACAAAACUAAAUUAAACAACAGAAUAACAGGCUACAAACAAAACCCCCCAACACAAUCCCAAAUGGAAGGAAAGGGUAAAUGGAAGAAGAAGAGAUGUGACAGAGAGGGGGAGAUACAAUCCCUCAACCCCACCCUCUCUUUGCAGCCGACACACUUGUUCCCUCAACCCUACCCUCAAACCCUGCACCCAAUCAACUCUCUUUCUGUCCCCCUAAUCGUGCACCCGCCCUCACUCUCUCUCUUCAACCAACCCCCUCCCCUAUCUCCCCCAAAUCACGCCCCCACAACAUCCCAUCAGUGAAGAAGCAAAUCCAAAAGUAAAUUGCAGUUACCUAUUACGGUAGGAUUAAAAUAAGAAUCUCCAAAUAGAAAGACAAAGGAUAUAAUACAACAGAUAGCUCACCAAAAAGUUGCAUCCCCUUCACAGUGGUGAUACAUUUCCGCUUAUUACGCAUGGCUUUUUCAAUUGUAAUUUCUUGCUUCUCCUGCAGAAAAAACACAACAGAACAGAUUUCAAUAACCACUCAUACCUAUUCCAUCUCUAGAACUAAAACUUUCAGUUAUUUAUCUAUAUAUAAAUAUUGAUUAUGAUCACAUUUUGAUCAUCGAUAAAAAAUACAAAUAAUUGUAUAUUUGCACAAUCAAAUAUUUAUGGAACUCACAACCGAGAGCCAGAGCUUCAAUUCCUGUGAAAACACCCUUCUCUCAAACCCUUGGCGACAAAUUCUUACAUCAUCUAUACCGUAAACUUGAUCAAUCAAUCAAAGAUUUAUAAAACUUUAGAAUUUUAACCUCAAUUGCAACAUGCAGACCCAAAAUUGAUCCAAAUCAAAGUUGAAGAAUCCUAAUAAGAACAAAGGCGCUAAACUAUAGAACUUGGGUAUUUCUUAAAACCCCUAACCCAUGAUAUUUUAAAUCCUUAAAUUUUCUAACCACCGAAACACUAUCCAACUAACAUGAUUAAAGAAAUUGCUAAUUACAAAUGGGGAAAACUAUAGCCCAUGGGUAGUUCCUUAAAUCCCAUCAUGUUUUCAAUUCCAAAAUUUCUCGUCAUUUAGGAAAAUCACUAAGCUUGUCUACCCUGAACUGUGCACCUAAUAAUAGUGAAAGGAAAGAAAAAAAUAAGAUAAAAAAAAUACAUAGCUAUUCGGCCCUAACUGCAUCCUAUCUAAAACGCACUAAAAUGCCAGUGAUAAAGUUUGGAACUCAGCAUUGUAUAACAUUUACAGAUUACAACCAACAUAAAUUUGUGAAAAGCGAAACCACCCCAUUGUUUUGAAUGUUGUUAUUUUAGGAAACCUUGCAAAUCACAAUGAAUAGCAUCUGAUAACCUUAAAUAGGGCCAAGAAUUUCGACUCACCAUCCUCCUUUAGCACAGAGCAACUCGCUUCCUUAGCAAAGUAGCAAACCGAGAUAACACGCUGCUAUUGAAGAAUGUAUCCAUUGCCACACAGCUGAACAUCACAAAGAAAAUUAAACAAAAAAAUUAAACAUUCACAAUGCAAAAUCCAAACUAAACACAAAAUCAAUGCUUUCAAAGUCGUAUG